Molecule: long non-coding RNA, 55303 nt
Filed under: Coffea arabica (coffee)
Lineage: Eukaryota; Viridiplantae; Streptophyta; Magnoliopsida; Gentianales; Rubiaceae
Description: long non-coding RNA (CARA_LNC004525)
Source: RNAcentral
UUUUUUUUUUUUUUUUUUUUUUUUUUUUGCUUUUGAAAUUUCAUGUUGGUUAAAUUUUAUAGCGUUCUUGAUUGCCGGAAGUAUGGAAAAAGCUGAAAGAAGAAACAAGACAAGCCACAUACAAAUGAGCUAAACAACAUUUGCCGUUAGAUUAAAUGGACGUACAACAGCAGAAAAGCUGGCCCAUACAUUACGGAAUUGACAAAUCAAGUACAAUUAAAAAAUUUCAAUAAUCUACAAACUAGGCUAUUGGGUCUUGAGAUUUUGGAGAUGAGAUCAGUACCUGGCCAGAGGAAGUGGGGAAGGGUAUGCCAUGCCAUGUAUGCCUGAGCAAUUGUGGACGAACUCGAACAGCUAGAAGUAAUAGCAGAAUUGCAAUGGCAGCAUCAACAAGACGGCAUGUGACACACAUGGAUGGGGCCUUGAACUGUUUCAAGAAAGGUAAACAAGCGCUACAAUAUUCAAUCAUUAGGCAGCCCCCAGCUGCAUUCAACUCCUUUUUUUGGGUCUAAAAGAUUUUGCAGCAGCUUCUUGCUAUCAUAUUUGUUAAAUCAUCCCCCAUUAAUUAACACAGAGAUUAAAAAAGAAAAUUCAACAUAAACCCCUUCUAUUAUUAACCGAAGGAAAACAAAUUAUUUGUGGCUGAAGUUUUACUGUGGCCAAACUUACAUCAAAACUAGGGUAUUGAAGGUUUCACACUGUUGAAAAACACAAAUUGAAACCCUUUGGUUCAAAAAGAAAAUGGUAUUUUCUAUUUCUGAUUGUUUUUUCCUGUUCAAAAAAGCAGUGAAAGAAAUUAAAGAUGUGCUGACAACUAACGCCAAAAAAAAAAAAAAAGUUAAAGAAGUAGUGGUGUAACUGCAAAACGUCAAACGGAUAACAUGGGCAAUUAAUUUUUCCUGUUUUCUUAUUUGUGGAUACAAUUUUAGUUGCUAAUACACCAAUAAGGACAAGGUACCAUUCUUUCUUAAUGAGUCCUUUUUUCCUACUUCUAUUAAUUAUAUAAGCAUCUCUUAGAACUUCUUUUCUUAUUACUUUUCUUCCACCAAUUCAGUGAACGGCUAAUACACGUACUAGUCUGAAUUUUGCUCUACAUUUAUUAUUUUCUUUCAGCCUUUCGUUUUCCAUAGCCUUUUUUAUGUUCGACCAUUUCUUCAUUGUCACGUCCAAAUGUAAGCGUUUGAUUCCUAUGACCCGUUUCCCUUGUUAUAUUCACAAGAACAGAAAAAGAGAGCAAAUUAGUAUGUACUCCCACAAACAUCAAUGAGAUUGUCAUAUAUAUAUUUACCACUAAUGGUAAAAAGGCACAUCCAGAAUCUCAACUGUAUUUUUAACAUGUUUGGUUACUAACUCAAAAUUAGCAUUUGUGGUGCUCAAGUCAAACACAAAAAUGAACAUUGACUAAAAUGCUAUUUAAAUAAUCCCAUAUUAUUGAAGCUAAGUACUUUUCUCCAAUCGAGAUAACACUUCCAUUUUGUCAAAGCUUGUGGCAAACAGGAUUUACAUGGGGCAUUAAAGAUCUUAAGAUCUGUUUGGUUCUUUCGUAAAAUGAGAAUUCAUAUGUAUGUCAUCGUUGUUAUAUUUACUUGACUCCAAUAUUUCAAGGUAUUUGUAAGAAUUGGACAGCUGAGAGCUAUAAAGUUUUGUUGACUCCUUGUGUUCAACUAACCGACUAAGGACCAGACUGAAUUAAAAGUUAGAAUUCAAUUCUGCACCUCCAAAGGAAAUAAACUGAAGUUAUUAUUUGACGUCAAAAGAAAUAGAUUAUUGACCAAAAAAAAAGUUAGGUGGUUCUUGAGCAUUAUAAAAGUUUGAAUUUUAUAGAUACCAUGCUUGCGUAACUAGGGCUGUUUCUCUUUGAUGCUUGGCCAACUGGUACGCAGUUACUAGUUUGCAUGAUUGACGAGGACGUGAUUGAUCAUUGAUUUAUACUGAGAAAAUUUACCAACAUUUUUUAACAAAAAAAAAAAUAUUUUUUAGAUUAAGACAGAUUGUUAGGAGAAUAAGAGGUUUAUCCACAAAGGAAAGAUGUGAAUCUUGAUGUCUAUGUAUAAAGAUUUUUCAAAGGAGAUAAGGCCCUGGAUGUUGGAUAAAUUUCAACCGAUCACACAGCACAUUGCAGUUUAUGCAUCGAUUGAAAGCUAAAGAGGCCAUUGUCGACAGCAUUUCAUGGCAAUGCCAAAGUUCCGUCCAGAUAACAUAUCUAAUGGUUCCCACAUGUAAUUUUCUUGGGCUACAUGAAUUGAGAUACACGAGAUAUAGAGCCAUGAAUAUUUAUCAAGAGGAAGAGAUGGACAAAUAAAAUCUUUUUGGUUAAAUAAUUUGCAGGCGAAACAAAAUGUGGAUAAUAUUUUGGUUUAUGAGCAAAAUAUUUCUGGCAGGAAAUAUAUACCACAAUAUUUAUAAUAUCAGAAAAUCUUAAUUGCAAAGGAGACCUCGGAUUAAUGGCUAAUCAAUUAAGAUCUCAAGAUUUAGAGGUUCUGAAUUCUAAUGCUCUUCUCUCCCUCCCCAUUUCUUGAACCCCACUCUUUUCUUGUCAGCCAAAUUUUUUUUUUUUUUUAAAAAAAAACUUAGUAGAAAAAUAUUCAGGUCAUUCUUACAAGUAGAAAUACAUAGAGAGGAAGAGUAUUGGAAGCAAAAACAAAGGACGGUCACAACUAACUACCACACCUUAAAAACUUAGGACAGCAGCCUCAUAUAUGAAAGCAACUCUACCAUGAAUCCCAGUACUAAGCUCGAUAUCCAUUAUCCAGAGAACUAAUCUAGGAUAGCUACGCACGUGCGUUCCCAUUAAACGACGACCCCUCGAGGUCGAGGGAGAAACCUCCUUUCAAUUUUUCUCUUGUCAAUAAAUAGUUGAGAAGCAGUAGUAUUAUCAAUUUCACAUAGUAUACACAGAAGUAGAAAGAGACGCCAACUGACCGCCUGUAUGCAAUGAUGCAAGCUACUACUGAUCAUGAUUAUGUUGAAUCAUGUGUCUUAUUAACAGUGUUCUUAUAUAUAUUUUUUUUUUAUUUCUAAUUAACAGUUGAGUAACAACUCUUGAUUCAAAUGCUUUUCCCGAAGAUAAAUUAUCUUAUUUAGUUCUUCAACUAUUUGGCCGAUUUACGAUUGCAAUAUCUCCAUCGACUCCACAAACUCUGGUGUCGAAAAAGCUACUGAAUUUUUUUGUUCGGUGUUUCACUUUUUGAACUAAGAUACUACUACUUUUCUCUCGUUUCACCAUAUUCGCAUAGACUUCUAGAACACUAAAGACAUUAUUAUAAGCUACAGCUCAAGUCAGUUAAAGUAUUUUUUUUUUUUUUUUACAAAUCAGUUAAAGUAUUUUAAGACUGCUUGAUCUAACUGUUUCCGUUUAAGCGUAAUGUAUUUGUUAAUGCAUGUAUACCUAUUUGUUUAUUAUGCAAGAGGGAGGUCGUUCUCUAUUCAUUUUACUGCAUGAUCUUAAAGAAGAACAAGAAGUGGGGAAACGCAAAUGUCACCAUGAAACGUCUUUUCUUGACAAGAACAAUGGUAGUUUGCAUGAUGAAUAUAUACCAGCCCUUAUGGACUGUAACCUUAAGCAAAGAAAUGAUAAUAAUAUCUUCACCAAGAAAAUAAUCCAAUCAACCCCGUUUACGAUUAGACAUUUUUAGUUAAAAAGAAAUAGUUUUCACUACCUGAAAGGUAGCGUCCUAUUACAGAAAACAUGAGGUCGUUCUUUAAGAUUGACACCGCAAACAGAUAUUCGUGACUAUGAAAAAAAGGGCUUGAUCACAGGCUAAAAAUAAAGGUAUUGAUCAUAAAUUUAAGAUAGAGGAGAUUCGUGGUGGUACUCAGCUUACUUUAUACACAACUAGAUAGAUAAAAUUUAACAGUCAGUUUUUCCUGUGUUGCAGACUUCACUUUAAAAAAAAAAAAAAAGAAAUGAAAAGAAAAAAAAGAAAACGCAAAAGGAAACUGUGCCUGAUGUUGCAGCUAUAACACUCUAUUUUUGACCUAGUGAAAUGGUCGUGAUGCUGAAGAAGAUGGUUAUGGAUAAAAUCAAAGAAGCAACCUCAAUUAGUGGUGGAUUUGUGAAUGAAUGAGACCCUUAGAUACUGCCUGCCACUGAGCUUACCAAGCAUGUCGAGCGCUCAUACGUCAAUCCACCACUGAUAGUAAUAAUGCUACGCAAUAAACCAUUCCUUUGCCGACGGUAUACACCACAAAAAAUGUGCUUUUAGGUGACAUCUCCCAAAACUCACGGGCUUCCACUCAUGCAUUCGUCUGGGAUUGGAUGAGUUGACAUGUACUAAGAGAAAGAAGAAAUGAACUUUUUAAUCUUUUCUGUUAUUACAUGUUUUGAGGUCAAAACGAUUUGGCAUGAGCAGGGAUUACCAAUUCUUAGCAUCCACAACUGGAUAUAGAAAUAGAGUAUGGGGGCCUCGUGGGAUUUCUACCAAACAGAAGCAAGGCCACAACUAACAUCCACAAAACCACAUGCAUGCUGACAAUCUAAGACAGCACCAACUUGUGGAACUCAACAAAAACAACUGGAAAAAUGUUAUGAUCCGUAUCAAGAACCUAACUAUCCAUGCACGUGUGCCUCAUUAAAUAUUGACCCCUCAAGAAAAAGACCCUUCUCUGCCUCACUAAUGAAUAAUUGAGCAGUACCGUUUCAGUCUGCACCUUACUAGGUGUCCUUGGUUCUCUUCUUCUUUUCUUUUUUUUUUUUGUCGAUACGAUAGCUUCCUAUAUUUUAUGGGGAGGGGCGGUCUGAAGAGGUUCUGGGAUAACUCAGAGGGGACUGAACUACCAUCAGACCAGACGAGUGCACUACACACCCGCCGGAAUUUUUUAAACAAGGUCACAUUUAAUUGUGACAAAUUGGUAGGAGGCAAGCCUUAAUGCAUUGGUGGUGGCCGGCAGCCUUUGGGCUGCUGGUUUCCUUGGUUUUCUUCUAGAGUAACGGCCGAAAGUGAAGCGCUUGAAAAAGACAUCAACUGUCUGGAUACAAUGAUGCACCGGAUGUCAGAUAUGAAAUUGUAACAGUAAUUAAUGUACAUGUCUGGUAACAACUUCCUGAGAAUCUGAGGAAGAAAUCCAAUGUACUCGACUUUUUAUCCAAAUUUCUUCUUGGAUAGGCGAUCAUUAUCUGACUAAAGAUACCAAAAGUUUCAUGACAACAGAGUCUCCCUAAAUUGAAACUGAAUAUGGCCUCCUAAUGCAUGCAGAGGAUGUUGAUUUUACGGAACCGAACAAAGAAGAUGCAACAUCCUGGAAUCGACAAGACUCGAAAUGUGGCUAAGGUUUUACAUAUGCAACAACUUGCAACACAGUCCAAUAAGUUUCACAGCUUUCACCACAAUUACUGAUAGUUCUUAGUAAAACAUAUCAACAAGAAGGUUAACGAGCCUUUGAAUGACCUUCACAUUGAAGAGUAUGCUAGAGAUAUCAGCACAACUCGAUGUCCUAAACGCAUGAUUAAUAUUUUGACAAUAAGAAGCUUAUAACUUGAAGCUGCAUCCCAAAGUAUUCCGAUUGUUAUAGAACUGUAAUUUUUCUCAAGCUUGAAAAUUUUUUGCGCAGUCGAUUGAUACAUUUGAAAACCAUGUGCUUGGCUCCCUUAUCAUUAUCCUUUAAAUUCUCUUCGUAGCUUCUUCUUCUCUCUGAAAAUUUUCACUGCCUUUCGAAUAUCUGGCCUGCCAAUAGAUUUCCAUUAAACCUAACAUGGUUCCCAACUUUCAUGAGUGCUCACACUCCCAGCUAGCUCUCUUCUGGUACCACAAGCACAAGCUUAUCGCCAAAUGUCACUUGUGUAUUAGGAAGACCAUCUCAGCACAAGGCUUAUCCGGGGUUGUAUUGAUGCCUUUUGGAAAGAGCCGACAUGUAACAUUGCAUGUUAGCAUCAUUUUGUUUGGCAUUAACCACAGAAAAUCAUCAAUAUUCUCUUUGAUUUUCAGGGGUGUUCUUUAUUUGCCCAUGUACGUCAGAAUCCAUCCUUGUGACAUACUAUUUAGGUACUGGUAUUCAGUGCACAGUUAGGAGUGCUUAGACCAGAUUAUCUUCAAGUAUAAACCUUCAAAUCUAUAAUAUGGAGCAAUUUCAUUUCCUUCAUAUACGAGCCGCAAAUCUGUACCAUUGUAAAUAAUACUAUUAAUGAAAUUGUUAACCUAUAAGUUAUCCCAUAUGAUAUGACCAACCCACUACAGUCCUUCGCUGGCAAAGGCUAGAGCAACGUAUGCCAAUAAAGAUGGAGCAAUUAAACAAACCGUUGUUGGAAACUAAGCUAAACCUGUAUUAAUUCAUAGAUCAUCAGUCAUGUACUACAUAUGAAAGGAAAUAGGAACAGUGCUGAAAGAUGCUUUGAGACAGAGGAACUGAGAACUACAGCCUAAACCACCACAGAAACAUCACAGACAGAUACCUAAUUCUAGAAAUUCACAUCAAACCUACUUCGGUCUUCAAAAGUUAUGGUAGACGUGCAGCUCACUGCUGCACAAGUUUUCUGACAUUAGGCCCGAGCAAUCCUUUUCCUGUGACAAGAACCAAAAAAAAUAUCAUUUUUGAGUAUUUUUCAGAAUUUACAAAAUACAAAUGCAUCUACAAAAUGAAACUGUGACACUAGCUCCAACCAAAUAUCAGACAAAUAUCAGAUGAGAGAGAGCGAACGUUACAUAGACUACUAAUGGUCAACAGAAAAAUAGGAAAGCCAGAAGUUCCUUGUCAUCAUGGACAUGAAUGGAGAACAAUGGCAAGAUGUUCAAAGAUGCUCUAUAACAUGAAAAGUUACUCCACUAUAAUUCUAAAAACUCAUUGUUUACCAAGGCGAACUAGGUUAGUAGUUACAUAUCAAAGGCGCUCAGCACACCUAUUCUGUCUUAAACUCUGAAUUAAUCUGGUAACCUUUCCAGUGAAUUCUAGCAGAGUUGUUGAAUCAGAAAACAUUAAACAACAUUACAUCUUUCUUACUCGUUACCAAUAUCAAUAAAACCAAAAACAAAAAAAAAGUACUUCUACAGUAAGACAAACUUUAUAGCGUUGCUUCCGUCUGGUUUGGGCCACUUUCGUCCUUUUUUCUCCUUUCUCAUGUCUCCUAUAAACAAAAAACAAUCAUAUAUGUAUGAAUGGAAAGGAAAAAAGUAAUUCAUUCCAACUUUAAAAGGAAAGGAAAAAAGUUUUCUUCCAAUUAUUCGAUAAAAUCCAGAAACAAGUCUCAAAGAUAGGAUACAGAAAAAUGUAGCUCUAAAAGAAGAGAAAGAAUAAAAAAUUGACUGCAAACUGUUCAAUAGAUGAACCAAAUUAAAUUUCUACCUCCCCAAAGAUAAAGGCAGACGAGUUUUUCCUUAUUCUAAAGGAAACUGUUAUUAUAAAGGAAACUGAUCCAAGGCAAUCCUUGCACAAGUUCACAUUGAAAAUGUGUACCUUGCACAGAAGCAGACCAGCAACUUUGUUUAAUUACAUGCUUCAAUGUUUCUUGCUGCAGUACAGUAUGCUUAAUGAUAGUACUUCUAGGAUAAGAAUAUCCAUCUACAUGCUGGUCUGCAAUGCUGAUUCUUUUAAUCUUUUGUCCUAUAUCUCUAGUCUCCUCAGCUACAUUCUUCACUGAUUCUCCCUUUCUGCCUGUAAGUGCCAUUUCAGAGCAAGAAAUUGUUCCUGAACUAGAGAAAAUAAUUGAAAGGUCCAUACAUAACAAUAGUAAUGGCAUCAAGUUCAAAGGUUACAUCUCCACCAGCAUAAACGCAACAAACACUGGGGACACAAUCAAGGGGAAAUCAUGGACGAGAUGCAGCAGUCAAUGACAGGAAAUGCAGCAGAAAGUAUAGCACAAUAGCAGAAGUAAUGAAAGCGUAGCAAGUGUUUCAUCACCAAUUCCACACCUUAAUUGGCACAUGAUAUACUAAAAUCUUAAAAUGCCUAAAAAACCAAUUACAAUCAUAAGGGUUCAUAUAACACACUUGACUGUAUGAAGUUAUUAUUCACUUAAAGCCAAGCUUUUGGAUAAGCAGAAAGGUUGAUUCCAUUACUGGGCUUUAAACAAUGAAGUUCCUAUGGAACAAGCUUAUUCUUGUGCCAGGUUAAUUACAAAAACAUGUCUCAGUUAAGAAAUCUGCAGAAAGGUUGAUUCCAUUACUGGACUUUGAACAACGAACUUCCCACAAACAAGCUCAUUCUUGUGCCAGGUUAAGUAGAAAAAUAUGUCUCAGUUAAGAAAUCUGCAGAAAGGUUGACUCCAUUACUGGGACUUUAAACGACCAAGUCCCCACAGAGGAAGCUUAUUCCUGUGCCAGGUUAAUCAGAAAAACAUGUCUCAGUUAAAAAAUCUGCCAGUAACUUUUCCAACUGUAAAAUUUUCAGGCCUGCAUUGCAAACUUUUUUCAGAAUUCAAGCAUAGUAGAGUGCAACAAUAGAUCCACAUAAUGCAUUGGCCAACACAGCUCUCUGCGGUAUAAUACAAUGUAAUCCAACAGAAGUUGAGUAAAUUAUGAAAUUCCUGUAUUCCAACAAAUCAAUUAACAAGGUACAUCCAACACAGAAUCAUCACAAAUCAUCUUUGCACGCAAGGCAGUGGUUCAAUACUUUCCUAUUGAUGAAAAAAAUGUUCCAAACGGCAUGAAAAAGAUUUUUCCAAGGCACAGGUAGAAUCUUUAAAAGCAUGAGUCCAGCAUACCUGAUUACCAUUCUACCAAUUUCAAAUGAGACCAGCAUAUCGGUCAUAUCUUUAAAAUUUCCUUUACAAAAUUCCUACCAAUUUCAAAUAGAUAUAUCCAUCUCCGCUCAUAAUAACACCACCCCAUCCCCAACCCCACCAAAAUAGAAAGUAAUUAAAAGAAGAAAGCUAAAAAUUUGUUAUUAAAGUGUUGAAGGAUAAUAAGAGCAUCCUCAUGAGACUUCAUUGUCUAAUUGCACCCAGCUCUCCCUUCAUCCUUAACAAACUUCCUACCAAUUUCAAAUAGAUAAAUCCAUCUGUUCUUAUAAUAACACCACCCCAUCCCCAACCCCACCAAAAAAGAAAGUACUUAAAAGAAGAAAGCUAAAAAUUUGUUAUUAAAGUGUUGAAGGAUAAUAAGAGCAUCCAAUUGAGGCUUCAAUGUCUAAUUGCACCCAGCUCUCCCUUCAUACAGUCUAAUGGAUUUCCCCAAGUUGCUCCACCUUAAAGCUUUUGCAUUCCUAACACACUUUCAAAUUUGAACUCAAAACCAUACUUUGCAAGCUAACUAGCAAUUACGGAGAUGACCAAGGCACAUUUGGCAUAUGUCUAGCAUCAAUUGUUAAACUUGGGGUGUCAGGUUGUCCUGUAUACAUGGAGAUCACACUAAGUACCAACAGUACACCCUAGAAAUUAUUAAUAGUAUACACGUACCGCUUAAUAAUACAUAAUUAAAUUCACAAAGACAAGAUAACACACCAUUUUAAUUACAUCAGAACCAAAAUUACCUGUAGCAGGACUGACAGCAUGAAUUGGAGAACGAAGCCAUGGCUGAUGAGUGACCAAUGGGGCAUACAUGUAACAAUCAGACUUCAUGUAAUCCUUAACCUUUCCAAACAUAUCUUCGUUUUUCACCUCAAAGGGUUCAUAUGCCUGAAUCCCUAAUGCAACAAUAUAAUAUUUCAUUCAACCCCACAAGCCAUACUUGAAUAUAUAUAUAUAUAUAAAUUCCAGAUUAAAGAAAGAAGUAAUCAUUACUCAACUUACCUGUAGAGGUAGUACAACAUGAGUCAACAUGAUCAGAAGUCUGAGAGGAAACUAAGGGUGCAAACAUGUAAACAUCUGACUUGAGAAAUUCUAAAACUUUCUUCAGCUUAUGCAGCACUUUCUUCUUCUUGUUGUCCCAUUUUGUAAGCUUCUUGUUGUAAAUUGGAACAAAAGAAACCACUUUCUUGGCCAUAGUUUCGAUCAUAUCCAACAAUUCCAAGGAAUUUUCGAACACAAAGUUGUAGAUUACGUGAAUUUGGUGCUUAAAAGUCUAGAGAUUUGGUUUCUGUUUAUUCAGUUUCUUGCGCUUUUCUACUUCUAGGAAGUUGGGGGCGGUUAGAAACAGAUGUCAGCAAAUCCCACCAACAGGUGGCAGCACAGUUCUAAGUCCCUGAGUUCCCACUCUUUUGCUUGGAUAUUAUCCACAGACGCAUUUAUAAUUUUUUUUUAAAAUUUGCCAAAAUUACUAGUGGACCACUUAUUUUGAUUUUUAAGAGUAAAUCAAGAUAUUUGUUUUCUGCUUGUAUCUGUAAAACUUAAAAGGAAAUAUAUUCCUGUACUCGGUCGUAAUUUUUUUGUUUUUUCUAUUUUUUUGGUGGAUUAAUCUUUAAUUUGGAGACCUAAUUAGCUUUAGAUCCUGAGGUGAGCCUAAUUAAGAGGAAUUCAUGGUUGUUUCCAAUUUUUGUACGACUAAUUUUUUGCAUAUUUAUUUGAGAAUUUUGAGCAAUUGAAUAUGCAAUAAUCAUCUAAUAUUUCAAUCUUUAAAAAUUUAUUUUACCUUUUCUUAGUAAAAAAAUAUUUAAAUAAAUUUAAUUUCAAUUAUUAUCACGAGUCAGAGAACGUCCUAUUUAUUUCACUUUACUUCUUUUGACUUUGAAGUUCUCCGCCAGCAAAUCCAGAGUCCCUCCCACCGACCCAUUUAUGAUGAGUUUGCUCCAGCUCUGUCGAGGAAAAUUCCAGCCCAACAGAUUUUUUUAAUGGUUAUCCCCUGUCCUGUACCUCCACUCAAAACGAACCAUUUUCUGUUCUUUUUCUUGUAUGCUUGAGAGGAAUUUUUCCACUCCAUUUUCGUCUAUAAUGAAUUGUCAAUUUCAGGCAGGGACAAGGCAAAUUAAGGACCCUGAUAAGGUUGCCAGUUGCUGGCAGACAGAUUAGCUGGAGGGGUGCAGCAUCACAACCAUAUUUUGUUUACUAGAAAGGAUCCUUUUCUGCCAAUUCUAAUCCAGUGGAUUACUACAGAAGGAAAUUGUACAUUAAUUUGAUCGACUUCUGUUGCUACUAGUGACAAAUUAAGACAUUUAUUUAUGGCUAAUGGACACUCUACCUCUAGCAGAUGGCUCUGCAAAAGCUGUACACAAGAUGAUUAAUUCCUCUGAAGAUUAGGAAGCAGUACUUUCAUUUCUUAGUCUGAUAGCAUGGAGGGGAGGCAGCUAAAUCCACCAAAUCCUUUUUUUUUUUUUGGCAUUUACAGCAAAAAUUUCGGAAUUGUGUAAUUUGCUUUAGUAAAUUUAUUCUAGUAGGAAAGCAAAGGCGGAAUCAAUGGAAAGUGACUGGUUGAAAUGCUAUUUCAUCACUGGAAUGUAUAAACGGUAGAAUCGAACAAGACAUGUAAUCCUUAAGUUCUUUCUUGAUAAUUUGUAAUUCAAUAUUUUAGGGUGUAUUGACUUGAGCCAAAUUCUGCCAUAGCUGGCAACCUGUAAAAUGAAAUGCCAUAAUAAUUUUGUCAAAAACCAAUUCUGUUCUAAUGCUGAAUCAAUUUUCUGACGCUUGAGACUGGUUUCAGUCCAUGCUUCAAUGCUGCUUCCCAUACAACAUCAAUUCUAUCUACAUCAAUUGCUCCAACUUCAUGGUGAGUCCAACCUUCCAAGGAAUGAACCAGCCCACCAGCAUGGCAUGCAUGGACAACACCUCUAUCCAUGGUAUACUGUUUUAUGAUAAUUAAGCAGAAAACAAGAAUUAAGUUAGAACAAAUUAAAGACUUAGGCAAUCAAUUCGAGGGAUUUGCGUAAAACUGCUUACCUCACAGCAUCCUAGUCCUUCAACAUCUUCAGGUAACUUCAUAGCUGCUAGAUCACCAUACGUGCAGUCCCUUCUGAACCGCAGAAUUGGUGGAACCACAAAUUGAUGAAAAUGCGUCCCUGGUGGUGCAAAUCUUUGCUCUCUAGGCGUAAUCCACUUGCCAACAAUCCAUGUCUGUCAGGACAGAAGAAACUGAAUUGGACCUUAUAAAACGAAGGUAAUACAUUAUUGUGAUGCCAAAAAGUUUUUCUUACUCCUGUAACAAGUUUAUAGGUCUUUCAGAACUUGGUUUUUAAGGUUCAUAAUUGGUAUCAUACACGGAUUCUGUUAGCAAUAGUUAGCUGCACAAGGCAAUCGAUAGAAAUGAUAAUUCUGUGGGAAGCUACAAUAUCAUACCUUACAGUUCUGAGCAGCUUGGUACUUUGACACUUGGACUAGAUACUUCUGAUAUUCUGUUGGGGCUUCCUUCUGAAUCUUUUGAAAUCUUUCUGUUGAUAAUGUCAACAUCUGCAAUGGUGUUCUUACAUAUUUCAGUUCAUGAAACACCCUUACUAUCAUAGUCAAAUAGGUAGGAAAUGAAAUUAUUCGCAGCAUAACUUCUUUUUUUGUUUGGGGGGGGGGGGGGGGGGGAUGAAGUUGAAGGAGACAAUAAGGACUUGUUGAGAGAAAUAAUAAGCUUUGAAAGUGUAGUUACCAGAACUCUAACUCUUUUCCUGCACAGGUAAAGAGCAAUUGCUCUUCCAAGUUUGGAGGUAGAUCCGCUUAAGAAUACCUCUGUCACAUCGUCUGGAAUCUCAUUGAGAGUCACAGCUGCUGUUAGUGUGUUACCAUGAACAACUCUAACUUCAAGGUCUGGAUGCUUGUUCACAAACAGUGUACCACCGCCAUUCAGAGCCUCAUUCUGCAAGAAGAUGGAUUAGGAAACUAGAAUAGUUAAUUAAACCAAACCGUUACGAUUACAUAUUUUUACAAUUCAUACAAGCAUUCAUUUACAAUCUGCAAAUAGAAUAUAAACGGGCAGUCCAUUUUGCAGAUAAAAAGCUCAUUCUUGUCAAGGUUUCGACAUUGUUUAUCAAUGGAUUGAGAUUACUUUGCAAAAAUUUGCAAAUUGUUUUGAUCAAAAUUUUCUGAUCUAACCAUCUAGAUUCAACGUUGUCUUCAUUAAGACAACGUCAGAAUUGUUCAAUAUAGGCUCUUCUAUUUAAUUACAAUGGGCUAAUUUAACACUGCAGUGCGGGAAACAUUGAAAUGACACGAGUAUAUAUGACACAAAACUGUAUGAAAUCACAGAUAAAUGUAUGAAGGGCAAUGCUGACACAAUAGGUACUGUAUUUUGCAGGGCCAAAUUACGAAUUCCUUUCUUUUAUAGGGAUAAGGACAAACAUCUCAUACUUAUAUGUCUUCAAUUGGAUUUGCCAUUUCUCAAAUCAAGCCACAGUAACAAACAACAACUAAUGAAGAUAGUUUCAGCUAUCACAAUCUGUACUCAUAGAUACAGCAGGCCAUUGCAUGUGGCUUCCUUAGUAACAUUAACUCAUGCCAGACAAGUUCCCAACGGCCCCUAUUUUGUCACAUGGACAAAAUUUCAUUGAACUUGUGAGAUUGAUAUUACAAUCUAAUUCUCCUUUGACAUCAAAUGUUUGAUGAAAACAAGAAAAGGUUUUCAUUGAGCUUGUUCCCACUAGACCAGCCUACUACACCCUGCUGGUCUAGUAGUUUUCACGCCAGGAAUAAAAGAUUUUAAGCUUACCAAAAUAUCCAGCCCCAAGAAAAAAAAAACCACAUUUAACAAAUGAGUGAUGAUCAUGAGACUAGUUAAUUACGCAAUGUCAACAAUUUCAAUCUCAUAUCUAUAGUCGAUAUUUCUUUCACCAUGCAGAAAAACUUUUGUCAUGCAUGAGCUAAAAAGGUGAAACAACUGUACGAAAAGUUAGGGCAAUGUGACCUUAUUCAAUGCAGCAAGGCUGAUAACUUUGACUCCCAAUCUAUUAGCCCUUAGAAUAGCCUCCUCAAUGUGUUUAUUAAUGCCAUCAGCGGCAAACGGUAAAAAGUACUGCAGAAAGAAAGAAACACCCAAAUCAGGGAUUUUCCUGGAUUCAGCAAAGAAUGCUAUAUAUCAUCAACUGAACUUAAUAAAUGAUCACAAACCUGAAAACCAAAGCGAGGAACAGACCAAGUUUGAUGCAGCAUGCCUCUGAGCUUGUAGAAGGAGACCAAGAAAGUUUUGGACUUAGCCCACAUCAGAAGCAUUACGACAAAGCAAACUGGCAACCAAGGGAGUAAGAUAACUCUAGUUGUGUAGGGCAUGGAUCCAUAUGAUCUGAAUACAAAUUGGGCGUGCAUGGCUGAGGUCAUGUCCACCACAUGAGCCAAGAACACAAAGUCUGGCACCCUAGAAUUUUUACCUGCAUUGGAAUUCAUGUCUGAUCAAUAUCAACUAGAAGUUGGUGAAUAGUAAUUCCUGUACCUUUGCCUUACUGGAUAAUAAAGAGAGUAGCAGGCUGUACAAAUAGGUUAUGUAUGGACCUCAUAUUUAUUGUUCAAAGUUACGCUUUUUCUUAGUACGCUUUUUCUGAUAAUUGAUUUGUUUCCAUUGUGGCUUGCUCUAGAUUUGGGACCAUUAAUGAAUGGCAUACUACUCUUUCCCACUGAAUUUGUUGUUGCCAACGAGAGUCCAGUCCUCUUGGGGUUUUUUCUUAAUUUUUUCGGUUAUAAUGGACAUUUUCUGCUCUGGUACGAGAAAAAAUAAUCAAAUAAAUUCUCAAACUUUCAAGAGGAGGCUCGGUGGAUCUAAGAAUCAGAAGCCUUGAAUCAAAUUCCUCUUCCUGCUUCUUAAAUCCCUUCCCUCCCAUGCCAAAAGAAAUUAAAACAAAAACUCUCAAACUUCCUACAAAUAUAAUGGGCAUGAAAAGGCAAAAAUAUUAUCCCAUCAUGAUAUGUUUUUGAAGAUUAUACCUGCGUCUAAACUGAAUUUCUUGUGCAUGUCCCAUGAUUUGCUGUUCAGGGUGUUGCCUAGCAGAUCAUAAAUGGGCAUGAAAAGGCAAAAAUUGGUACCCAUCUCCGUGUGGUGCAGGCUGUGAUAUCUGCAAUGUCACCCAAAAAAAAAAAGCGAAUGCUGCGUUAGUGUGGUUAUCUACAUCAGAAUUCAUGUGCAGAUGCCACAGCCUUUGAGGCAGGUGCACCAAUUUUUGUACGUCACUUGCUUUCUUCCAGUGCUAAAAAUUUAAAACCAUCUUAAAACUGGCGGAAAACAAGGACGCCGAACCCCACUUAUUAACUAUCCACUAAGUUGGAUGGAUGUAUUGGAAGCUGUAGUUUCAUGAUUGGUUCAUCAACUGCCAGUCUUUAAUCUCAAUAAAUUACUAGGUCUCGCACGGUAUUACUCUUUUGGAUGUACUAGAUUUUGAAAGUAAAUUUUGCCCAUUAAAUAAAUUUUCAGCUUUAAACAAAGUGCAAGUGUGUACUAAAGACCAGCCUAUUAACAGUUCUCCUAGAACUUCGGAAAUUGUUUUGUAGUAAAGCAAAUUGAACUAAUAUUUAAAAUCAGCCGCAUUUUUUGCCUCUUUGUACCGAACUGUCUCUCUUAGUCCCAAUUUAUCUUAAUAAAUAAUCUUGGUAGCUACAAUUUAAUAAUUACUCUAUAAAAACCUUCUUACUUACCGCGUCAAGAAUGUUGUCUAACUUCUCAAAUUAUUACUAUAAAACAUUCUACAGUGCUCCAUAACUUUGGGAUCACUCUACUUCUUGCAGAACUAUAGACUGCGAAAAAAGUAAAAGAAAAAAAAUUUUCCAAACAUGCAUAAAAUUAACCUUGCAGUUACUUACGUUGGCGAAUAUAGGAGGUAUCGAAGAAAAGGGAAUUUUUCAAAUAUCUGAUGGGGCAAGAUUUCGGUAUUGCAAUGCCCUAAAGAUCUUAGUAAAUCGAAAAUCAAGACGUAGCCAUAGAUCAUGCUUAUUGAUCCAAGUCCAAGAAAACAAGCCCCAACAAUAGGAACUCCAAUCACAACAGCCAACACAAGAUGCUCAAGAAGUGUGAGAUGGCCAGCUGCAUAUUGAACAACAAAAUUAUCAGCAAGUAAAUCGAAGUUUUGGGUAGAAUUUAAAUCUAAAAAAUGGGUUUUGAAGUUCCACCUGUGAAGGGUUGAGGGACAGGAGAGGAAUGAUGGAGUGAAUGGUAAUUGGUGAACAGAUACUUCCCGUGAAAGUAUUUAUGCGUCAAGUAAUAUAGAGGCUCCGAGAUUGCAAUAUGGAGCAAAACAACAGCAACGAAGCCUCUUGUGUUCCAUAGAGGAAGAUCAGCAAGAAACGGGAACUUGUAGAAGAUUAAUGUAGCAAGAGCUGCUUGAAGCAAAAUGAAAUUAUCCCUGAAAAAUAAAACCAGCAAAUGUCAAACUAAAAUUGCACACAACUAUUGUUUAUUAAAAAAAAAAAGUACAAAAAGACCAGCAUCUACCAGUCCCAUUCUUUAUCAAUCUGCUUAAAAUCUACUCCUUCUUUGAUGAUCCGGCGAUUUCGAGUAAGAAAAAGCAUGUUGCUGUAAGCGGUCCAUGAAUGAUACAUGAAACACCUAAGAGUACAUAAGAUUAGAAUGUGCAGACACCAAAGGGCCUGGCUGCAGGUAUCUUCUUGAUGCCUUGCAUGUAAGAUCUUUGCAAGAAACGGUCCAUAUAGGAUAUACUGUUCAAAAGAAAUGAAACAAAAAUGAGCAUCCAGCACUAAAAAACAUGAAGAGCCGUUCUUGUUUUCUUAGACAGAUUUAAAGUUCUGUUACCUUGAAACUUCCCAAGCCUUCCCAUGGCCAUGUUGACAAGAGUGCAACCAUUUUCCAAGUCGUACAAUCUUUUCUGGCUCUGUCUUUCUCUUAUAGGUGUAAAUGGAAAUGGAAACGAUUGAAAACCAGAGAAGAGAACCAAGAGGAAGAAAUGGAGAGGUUUUGAAAGUUUGGCUUGGUUCUCUUAUCGACAAGCAAGGUGUAAAAGAAGUCUCUCUUGCUCUUUUUUCUCACCCAAGGAUUAUGUACUUAUAUACUGAGCUAUCAACUCCAUUGAUUGCAUUUUAGUUGUGUCCAUGUAAUAACUUUGGAAGACAAGUCAGGUGUGAAUAUCAAAUGUAUCGAAUUCGACGCGUUCAUCUAUGUACUACUCUUACAGUACAAUAUGGCACAGCUGUGGUCCUGGCCACUCUCAGAAUUUAAUGCACCUAUAGUUCUAUGUAGCAUUUUUGCGUGUCUUGGAGAUGUGGAUGGAGUGGUAUUUUUUUUUUCUUUUAAGAAAAUUACGGAGUACUAGCUAAUGGAGAAUUCAAAUUCUUAUCUUGGGGGGGAGGUGGGGGUAGUUGCCUUGUCUAAAUAAGGCACUAGCAAUCUCUCAAAGAUCAAUAGUAAUAAUAUACGAAACCACCCAAGUCACUGAAAAAUGCAUCGAUGGCCUACCCUGUUUUUUUAAAUGGAAUAGCUUUUUAUUUUCUCCUAAACUUCUUUUUUUUUUUUUUUUAUUGAUGAGAGAUUCCUAAUCUUCUAAGAGAAAAGUUGAAAAGAGAAAGACUUAAAGUCGCACUAGAAUACUCGUGAUCACUUAAGUAAUGAGUGUGUUUAGAUAGGAGAUUGAUUAUUUGAAAUAACUAUUGUGAUACUUUUUGUAAUGUGGUGUAUAUAAAAUAAAAAAAGUGUGUUGAAAAUUAUAUUUGUGAUAUAAGCAAAUAAUUUGAAACCUAAUAAUGGCUAUAACAAUUAUAUAUGUUGAGUCUUAGAACUUAAUUUUCUUGCGGUUUUCAUGAAUUAAGAAGAAAUUCUUUUCUUGUCUUUUGGGCAAUUGACCAAAUUUUUGGUUGUAUAGGCUGGAUAUUGCCUGGUUAGUAUAGUUGAUGAUCAGUCCUAGGAGGAAAACGACAUGACUUUCCCAUAGCCACAAAAUGCCAAAGAACUUUCCCUCUUUAAGGCCUUUUUGUACUUGAAAAAUGUAAAAAAUAAAUAAAUAAAUAAAUUUUGAAAAAGAAAAAAAUGUCAAUUAUUUGAUGAUUCACAAGAAAACUUGUAACAAAGAAUCAGAAUGGUAUCACAAUCUAUGAUUGACUUUCUUUCUCCCAUAUCUUCUUGCCCCCGAUUUAAUCUUUUGGUUUAACCAGGUGAAACAGAUGUUGUAUGCAUAUUAAUUUGUUGAACCGACCUGCUGGGACUCUUCUUCAAUUUGUCUUUCCAACCACUAGAGGUAGCCUGCUCUUUUUUCCAUUGAUUAUUUUAAUGCCGGCCGUAAUUAAUUAAAUCUUGUUGAGGAGGUCCAAUUGGACCUACCGGUUUCGUGAGGGAUAGCAUGGCCGGGGCUGUCAUGCAUUCAAUUCAUCAAGAAUUAGUGGAUUUGAUUUGUAUGGUGCUGAUGAAUUGUGCCCAAAACAUUUGCUUGCCUUAAGUACAUCCACUUUUCUUUUUUUUUUCCUCCCCAAGGUUUAUCGAUCAGCCAAAUGGCAGCUUUUCCUAACCGGAAAAUAUCUCAAUUUAUUUGGAAAAUACUGGCCUUUUCAAAUUGGAUGAUUCCAAAUUCCAUUUAGCAUCAGACAGCACAUUCUGGAAACACUAAUCAAUAACGCCGCAACAGUACAUGAGAUUAAUUUUUGGAUUAGCAUGUCAUGUGUUUCGAGGUUGUGGUGUAUAAUCACAAUCUGUAGUAAUUGCCAAAUCGAAUGGAAAAUCAACCACGUUAUAUGUACGUACAGAAGUUCUGCUUAAUUAUACUACGUACAUGAUGGACCAAAAAGAAAAUCGAAGAAUGAUAAUAAAUAUUUGGAUGUCCAAGUGCAGUGGCCGGCAAUGGAAACCCUGUGUUUUUCGUUUUUUAUAACACUUUUGCGGACGUUCAAUGUUCUAACCAAAUCAGCUUAUAUGCUUUUCCUAUAGGUUUUUUUUUUUUUUUUAACGCACUUUUAUUUCAAUGUCCGAUGAAUUUUGACGGAUUAGGUAACAAGGAUCAGUGAACUUUGGAACCUUUGAAGCUAGCUACUAAUCUUUUUUUUUUGUCUGUAUUUGAAAAUCCUUUUAAACCUACCAUUUGUCUGUACUUAACAACCACAAUUAAUACUUCAACUUCGCAUCUCAUGAUUUUGAAAGACGGCUCCUAAUUAAUAAGGGUUAGGAAAAAGUAAAGGCGAUAUUUUCAGCAAUGCAUUACAAAUUUAAUGUAGCUGUGUGCAAUUUGCAGAGUCGUGUGAGAGAUUUCUGUCCAAGGGAAGGGAUUCCCGUGAAGGUGUUCGUAUUGUCAACUAUGGUGGGCACAACUAAUUCUAGGCAACUAAUUCUAGGCUAAAUCCAAGAACUGUCUACCAAACACUUGUUAAUUAGCCAACCCUUUAUAUUUAUAUAUAUACAUAUAUAAAUAAAAUCUUUAAAUUCUAGCGUUAACGCUUCAUUACUAGGGAAAAGAUUUUGCUUCAAAGCUCAAGCCAAUAACUUAAUUGAACUUAAUUUGACCAUUUCCCGAUACGAAGUAAACUUAUACCUGUAUGAAAAAUUAAACAUCAAGAAGAAAAAGUUCAACGAGAAAAUUCCCCAGUAACGUAAAUAAAAGUCGAGUGUAGCCAUCAACCAUUUAGGGCUAGUAUUCUCCGGUAGCAGAUGGGCAACUGGUUGUCUUGGGCCGAUCAUCCCGUUUGAUCUGUUCAACAUUGACACACAGUUGCUUCUCCAUGGCAUUUUCAGGACAAAAAAUAGACGGGUCAAUGACGUAUACAAGUCCAAUUCCUCAUCUUUGGGGCAAAUGAAAUAGUACCCACUUCAUGGACAAUAAAUUAGGAACAAUCAUUCACGCACUAAUAAUAUAUAUAAAAAAAAAAAAAAAAAAAAUUCUACACUAAACGACAAUAUAAUAUGUAGAAAAAUUCUAUACUAAACGACAAUACAACUUAAGCGUAGAAAUGAAUUAAAAGAUGACCCGCCUCCUUCAUUUUAAAGCAUUCAUGUUUGUGUCUAUCAUUUAAAAAAUCAUGAUUUUAAAUUGUUUUUUUUGUAGACAGACUCGUAUAUAUUAAAUAUGUUUAAAUGUAUAUUAUAAAUACAAAUUUUUAAAUUUAAAUUUAAAUUAUUUAUCAUGUAUUUAGACCUACUGAUGUAUGUACUGUCUGCAUCUGCAUGUAUAAAAAAAAAAUUAAUGCAACAAAUAAAGAAUUACUAGUCUCUACCACCUCUCUGUAGUCUCUAAUUACCAUCAACGAAACCAGCUUAUGCAUAUGACAGCGCGCACAUUUCUUCACAGCAGCAUCAUUAUCGAACCAGAACAGCUAAAAUGUUACAAGCGGCAAGUAAUAUGCGCCGAUUUCAAAUUCGAUAACGUGCAAGUUUUGAAAUUCUCUUUUGGACUAAUUUCGUGUGAACUAGCAGGACUGAUUUAUUCUACAAAUUCAAAAACCAUGUAAAUCCAGAUCAACUUGUACAAAUAUAGACGAGACGACGGUUAAGGUUCUUGAUUCUGAAUUUUGCCAAGAUAUUUAACCAUUGCACACCACAUAUUCUGAAUUCAGCCCCAUGUUCAUGAUAAACAUAAGUAACUACUUCCCACAUGUUGAUGGUUUUAGUUUCGAUCCACUUGCGGUGCCCACUUAUUUAGUUGCAGGCGUACUGAUCUGCAGCAUCUUUUGAUAUUUCUCAUUCGAGCUGCAUUCAUGACUAGACGUCUAGGGGAGGAAUAAUAACCACAUGUUUUCUUGAAUCUUUGAAAGGAUAAGGGCCUUGUUUAGAAGUAAGUUUUUUGUCAAGUUUGUCUAUUGUAAGUUUUUGAAAAAUUUUAGUUACAGUAACUUUCAAAAAUUUUCAAAAUUUUUAAACUAUAUAUUUCAAAAAAAUUUUUAAAAACUUCUACAGUAAAAUUUUAGACAAAUAUCCAAAAAACUCACCUUCCAAACGAGGUUUCGUGGGAUAAUGAUGCAAAGCAAACACUUUCAAGCCAAUUUUAUGUUUGCAGCCGUAGAGUUAUGGAGAACAGAUAAUUGUUCCAAAUGUCAAGAUAUCAUUUACGUAAAGAAUGAAACUUAUCAUGUGAAUACCCUACGUAGCCAGCUGUCGCCAUACAUGCAAUUAAAACUACAUCAUUUUCGAUCAUGCCAUACUUUUGAGUGUUCAUUCUUUUGUCUGAACAACAGCGCUAAUUAGAAGUAACUAUUCCUUAGGCAAUGAAAACAAUAUAGGAUCCCUGUUUCUAGGUUCUUCUUCUUCUUUUUAACAUGCGAAUGAAGGGAUUUGUUAUCAAUACCGGCGACUGGGACGAAGCGAGGUCCGUAUGUAAAGCUUUUUCAUAAUUUCCUGCCGGACAUUGGGCAAAACUAGAUAAGUGACAUAUGGAAAACCAAGAAAUAGUUGCAGUUGCAUUGGAAAAGAAAUAGUGUUCCACCAGGGACCAGGCUAGUUCAGUACCAUGUAAAAGCUUUUCAUAACCUGGAAAUGAAGGGAAUUGUUAUCAAUGCCAGCCACUAGGGACCAAACUAGUUUAGUAUGUUAAAGCUUUUCAUAUUUUCUUGCCAGAAAUAGUGCACAAAACUAAAUGAUGUUAUCAGUGAAAUUGUAAGAAAUUGAGAAUCAAGGAGUAGCUUUGCAGUUUGGAAUGUCAUCAGUGAAAUAGUGUUGCAAAAUUGGGACCAAGCUAAUAAUUUGGUAUGUAAAGUAGGGGUGGGCACAGAUCGGGUACCCGCCCUAAUAUGAUUUAGCUGACCCGACCCUAAUAUUUUCGGAUCAACCAUUUUGUGACCCUAAGCCGCUCCUAAUAUCUUCGGGUACCCGAAAAAAAAAUGCGGGUCAUAGGAUACCCGCCUUAUGACCAGCCCCAAAAAAAAAACUAUUUUUCAAUAAAAAAUUGCUUUCCACUUAAUAUCAACAUGUUUUUCAAUUAAAAAAACAUGGUUUCCAAUUAAUAUUAGUAGAGAUAUUGUAAUUAAAGUCCAUACAUCACCAUUUUCACACAUUUCAUCCAACAAUCAAAUCGAUCUCAUAAAUUUAGUAUAUAUUAGAAUUAUAAUAUCUAAUAGAUAAAACGAAGUUUCAUAAUAAUUUUGAGUACAUCACCAUUCUCACACAUUUCAUCCUUCUACAACACAACAAACACAAGGAUAAUAAGUAUUUGGCAACUUCCCCAACUUCCUUAAGGAUGUUAUGGUACAAGAUUGCAUCUCAAAUAAGUCGAUAGUGAAAUCAAGUUCAGAAAAGAAUUAAAUAGACCUAAUUAUUUUUGAAAAAAGUAUAACAAAAAUAACCUUGAAAAAUCUUCCCCAGCUUCUUUACAUCUUUGGAAUAGACCUUAUGGUAUUAAAGGUGAUGAAAAAGAAAAAUAAAUUUCUUACACUAAAUAAAAGAGACAAAUUUAAGAGACAUAAUUGCAAUAAAAUAAAUCAAAUAAAUCAAUAAAUGAAAGACAUAAAUGUUUUAAUUAUCUAGCUAACAGAAAAUUGAAACUCCAAACACAAAUCUUUGAUUGAAUUGAUGCAAAAUUUGCAGGAAAGAUCGAUGGAGGUAGAAUAAAAAUAAAAAUGAUGAAAGGGAUGAACAAUUUUUAUAACAGAGUUUCACAAUUUUUUUUUUCAUUUUGUUCGUUUGGUUCAUGUUUCAUCGAGAAUAUUCGCUUUCUUCAAACAAGAUGAGGAGAUGUGGAUCAUAUGGGAUUAGAAUAUAAGUCUUUGAGCCACUUCACUUGCACUUAGAAUUAAAAAUUAUAAAGUUAUAAAAUGAUGCAUAAUUUUUUAAUAUUUAUAUAAUAUACCCUGCGGGUUUGAAUUUUUCUAAUCCGCAUCCGUAUCCGAUUUUUGAGGGUACCAAACCCUCAUCUACCCCGCUAAGAAAAAUCGGAUCGGGUAUCCUAUUUUUCGGAUUGGGUUCAUCGGAUUUUCGGAUCGACAGGUUUUUUUGCCCACCCUUAAUGUAAAGGCCUUUCAUAUUUUCAUGCUAGAAAAAGUGAACUAAAUGAUGUCAUUAGUGUGACAUUAUAAGAAAUUGCGAACCAAGAAAUAAUGUUGAUGUUGCACCGUAAAGAAGCAAAGAAAAAGAUAUAGCUCUGCAUUUACACCAAAGUUGUCCGGUUUAGAUUGCACUUUUACAAGUUUUUCGGAAUGUUUCAAGUAAUAGUUUCAAAAAACCAAUGGCCCUUUGGACUGUUGCCACCUCCAAAGACUUUAAAUAUUGGUGGGGUGAGAGGUCAAAAGUUCAAAUUUUGCAUCCCAUUAAUUUGCCACUAUAUGUGGCUUUUUCUAAAUUCAUACAAGUACGUAAUGCACUCGUCUGGUCCAAUGGUGGUUCAAUCCCCAUCGAUUUCUCUAGGUCUCGUUGGACCUCUCCCUCUCCCCCCCACCCAAAAAGUGUAAGCUAGAGUAGGAGUCGAUUAGGCUAAUUGUUACCGUCUAAUAAAAAAAAAGUAACAGUAUCAAAAGUGAUGGACGUGAAAUAAGAAAAUUAUUUAUAAUGUGUCCAAAAAUUGUUUUCUAGAAACUUACAAGCCAAACAAGUUUACAUCAAUUCCAAGUUCCUACGAGAUUUUAUAUACAGCAUUCCAACUUUUAACGAGGUCUUAAUGAGUCUUUCCACAAGGUAAAUUAUUAUAAUUUCUUUUUGAAGGAAAUUAAACCAAACUAUUUUAGUAUUUAGUUUCUUAAUUUGGUUUGAUAUUUUAUUUAUUUAGUUUCUGUAUUGGUUUAGGAAAUAUAAAAUCAAUUUUUCAAAUAAAUUUCGGUUUACAAUUGUAUUUGUUUUAGAAAAUUUUGAAAUCUAUAAAAAACUACCAGUUUAGUAGGUUAUUAUUUGAAGAGUUGAGUUGAAUCUUGAGAGUAGAUUUGAGAGAAAGUCUCACAGUUGAGAUUUAUAAGUUAUCGUGAGUGAAAAGUUACGACUUGAUAUUAUUAUUGGUUGGGUUUUGUUGAAAUUUGAGUUAAUUAAAUUAUUGAGUAUUUGUUCUCCUCCAAUUCCCACAUAUUUUUAUAUAUGCUCAAAUUGCUUCCGCUGUGUGGGGCGCGUGAUUUUUCGUGCCAAUAAGUGAUAUCAGAGCUCUAGACUUUGAUCUUGGGGCUUGUUCGUGAAAUUAAAGUAUGGAUCCGUAUUAUUGAUCAUGUUGUGGUAUUUUUAUCUUUGAUGGUAAAAAUGAUUUUGAAAUUUGGAGUUUGAUGAUGAAAAGAUUUUUUCAUGUUAUUGGAAUUUGGGAUACUGUUGAGAAGGGGUUCACGGAACCUAAAGCAAGCUCAAAAUCAUUAAACGAUCUAAUUAAAGAAUUAAAGAGGAAUAGACAAUUGGAUUGUAAGACAUUUCACUAUCUCAACACUCAAAUCCAGUUGCAUGUAGCGAAUAAAUUUAUACACGCAAAGACAGCAAAGGAGGCUUGAAUAUUUUUAAUAUAUUUCUAUAGUCAUGGUAGAGAAGAAAUUUGUGAUGAAAAAGAAAAAAAAGAAUAUUUUAAUAAGUCAAAGAAAGAAGAAAUUGCAGGAACACUUAAAGAUGAAGAAUUUGUGAUUGAAAAAAAAGUUCGCAAGUGUUUAAGAGAGAAAGUGAAAUUAAAGAUGUGAUUGAAGAUUAUGACAAUACAAAGAUUAUGACAAUACAUAAGUUAUUAAUUUUGUCGAGAUUGAUGAUUUUCUUGAAGAGAAGUGAUAGAAUUGAUUAAAAACAGUUUGUGAAGUGGACAAAUUAAUCGAAAGUUGUGAUACUGUUAAAAGUGAUGCAGUUGUUAGUGCUGAAAAAGUAAAGGAAAAACAUGAUGAUGUUAAAAACAUUGGUAGCGGCAACUAUGAUUUUUUGGUUUUGGGAGAUUUUAUUAGUGAUGUAGCUAAAUUAAAUUAUGAAGCAUUGAAUGAAGAAUGGGUGGAUAUGUUUGAAUUUUUUCAUAAGAGUAAUCAAGUCAAGAAAUUGAUCGAAAACUACAAAUUUCGUCCAUUCUUGCGCGUGAAGAUAAAAUUGGAGAUCAAUUACAAGUUGGAGUUCCACGUCAUCUAUACAGCAACCAAGUUGUUCAUGGAGAUUCAAACUCAUGAUGGCAUUGGAGAUGACAACAUUAAGAGCUUUGUUUAAGGGAAGCAAUGAAGAAAAUUAAACCAAACUACUUUAAUAUUUAUUUUCCUAAUUUGUUUUGAUAUCUUAUUUAUUUAGUUUCCGUAUUGGUUUAAGAAAUCUAAAAUUAAUUUUUCAAGUAAGUUUCGGUUUACAAUUAUAUUUGUUGUAGGAAAUUUUGGAGUUUAUAAAUACUACCAAUUUAGUAGGUUACUACUCAAAGAAUUAAGUUGAGUCUUGAAAGUAGGUUUGAAAGAAAGUCUCAUAAUUGAAAUUUAUGAGUUGUCAUGAGCCAAAAGCUAAAACUUGAUAUUGUUAUUGGUUGGGUUUUGUUGAGAUUUGAGUUAAUUAAAUUAUUGAGUAUUUAUUAUUCCUUCUCUUCCCACAUAUUUUUAUAUGUGUUAAAAUUGCUUUUGUUGUGUGUGCGCGCGAUUUUUCGUGCCAACACUCUUUAAUAGAGUAGUUCAUGAAGUAGACUAUUAUAAUUAAUCAGUAUGAUAGUAGAAGUUUUUCUUUAAUAUGAACCAUCUAAUUGCCACGGCCAGUCAUGGUAACCUACAAUUUUGAAAAGAACCCGCUUUUAGUAGCACGUAAUUAAAUUAGAUUGAAACUUUCAUAUUGUUCCGCCAAUCACCUAGGGCUGUCAACGGGCCGGGUCCGGGCCGGAAUUCAUUAUUCCGGAUCCGGACCCGAAUUACUAUGCCGGAUCCGGAUCCGACCCGUUUACCCGACGGGUCUUUUAUUCUAUGUUCCGGAUCCGGAUCCGGGUCUACCCGAACAAAUUUACCAAAAUUUAUAAUUUCUAAUAAAAAUGAGAAAAAAAUAUAUUUGUAAACUAAUUUCUAACUAAUGCAAAGAAAAAACCAAAUAAGAAAAGAAAUCAAAUUAACUUUAUUAAAAUACAUCACCCUAAUCAAAUUAUAUUGAUAAAUAUAUAUUUUUUAAAUUAUUAAUUUAUUUAUAUCCGGAUCCGGGUCUAAUACGGGUCGGAAUACUAUAUUCCGUAUCCGACCCGUUUUUUUGUUUGACAAAACGGAUCCGGAUCCGGGAAACGGAAUUAAAUCCCUACCCAUACCCGCAAUAAUUUCACGGAUCGGUCCGGAUCCAGGUCUAGACCCGACCCGUUGACAGGCCUACAAUCACCACAAACCAAGUGUCUUAAAAUCACUAGCCUACACUGGGGAUCAUUGUGAAAGUUAAUAGUUGUCAAAAGCACUAACCAAGAAGCAAGUUUCUCCAACUAAAAUCAAUUUCCAGCAUUAUGCAGUAGUAGUGCAAAGCCACAAACGGACGUAGACUUGAUUUGACUUAUUGAUUAAAAAUCAAAAUGAAUAAUACAAUUGAUUUGAAUUUAUAGAAGAAAAAUUUGAAACCCAAAUUUUCAGAGCAUGUUUCUAUUUAAGCAAUAUAUACUAAACCACAAAUUUUUAGUGGUUUAAGUAGCAUUCCAUUAAUUCUAAAGAUCCUACUAAGAUUAGGAUCCACUUUAUAAAUUAGAUCAUAAAGUUGUAGGACCAUGAAAGCAAGAUGAAAAUUCUAACUAUGCCCCACACUCCCUCUCCCCUCAAAAAGGGCAAAAAAAAAAAAGAAAAGAUUCCGUCUUUUCUAUAAUUUCCAUUAGUGUACCAUCCUACAAUUUUUCACACCAAAUGUCAAUACAACUUUUUCUGGCAUUUGCUCUAUACUACUUCAAAGCAAAGAUAAAUUAUCAUAUAAGAAAAAGGAAAAAGUAUUUGAAGACUUAAAUCCCUACACUUACCACAAUUAAACAUUGCCAAUAACUUGACUCUAGAUUUUUUGUGAUAAGGAGGUCAUAGAGAGACGGUGGUAUCAUUUUCUAUUCUCAACUUCCCUGGAGUUUACUUAAAAGAUAUGUGAAGGGAUUUAUUAAUGAAUUGUAUAUGUCAUGCAUGAUGCCUAACCAAAAUUUGGAAUAAAAUAUUUUUGUAUGUUUGUCCCCUGAUAAGAGAGACUCCAUCAUUUUUAAUACAUAGUGGGCAGUCAAGAAUUUACGAAUAAACUAGGCAUCUUCUGUUCUCAUUCUUUCCAAUCAUUUGUUAAGUGAUAAAUUGAUAGGUUGUAAUUUUAUUAUUUAUUUUAUUAUUAAUUUCCUCUAUUACCUGACCUGAUGUGGAUUAAUUGUUAGAUUCUACUCACUUUUGACAAUUUGUAUUUAUUUCAGGGAAUAAAACGAAAAUAUCAUAAUAAGUACCAAUUUAGCAAUUAUCAGAAAAGAGUUCAAGUAGCAGGAGCAUUUUUAGAACGUCAAGAUGCGACCCCUUUUUGAUAAUUUGGCGAAAGACAGCAUGGAAAAAUGGACGAAAAGGCUGAAGUCUUCUAUUCCGCUUGGGGGAGGACGCUCUCUCUUUUCUUCCUCUGUAGGGGACGCCGCACAGGAGGCAUUAGAUAGAAAUUAGAAACAGGAGACAACUAGCAGAUGACUUGGCAGUUUAGCUUUUGACUUUUCCGUUUCGUCUUCUUGUGGUUCCAUUACUCGUAUGUCAAGACCAAGUGAAGACAUUGAAUUACUUCCUGUAGCUUGCCUUUUUUCUUGAUUUCUCCGAAUUGAAUUUAGCCAAUCACGGAGACAAUGGCCGCAACUAUUGCUGCAAUUUUGUGUGGGUCCUUCUUGUCAAGGAUAAACUAAAUCCCCUUUUCUAGUCAAGAGUCAAGAAAUAAUGGAGGCUUUGGUUCGGCUAAAAAUUGUGAGAUCGAUUUAAUUUUAUCUUUUUCUUUUAUUUAUUAGUAUUCGUAUAUUCUCUGAUUACAGUGCUUAUGAUUGUUCAAUUAAUUAAUUAUCUUGGAUCCGGAUAAUUAGUUAAUUUAGUAACCUAUUGUCAAUUAGGAUAUUAAAUCCGUAAUUGUUUAAUUGCUCUGAAAUAGUGACAACUGACAUAAUUGGAUUUGUGUCAGGGGAAUACGCGGGUUAAUAUAAAAUAACCCUGGUAGUGCGUUAUUUGGUUAAAAUAGGGCUCCUCUAAUACGUAAGGCAAUUGGGGAAUUAAAUCUUACGGGCGUACCUAAAAUUAUUUCUCAAUUAAAGCAGUGAUUAACGGGCGUACCUUAAUCAUCGACACAGUAAGGAGGGGUUGACUGUCAUCGCUUGUUUGACAGUUAUAACCUAUUUAUUAGUAAAUAAUUGGAAUUACCUUUGCAUCGAUGAUCCAUUAGGUGAACCAUUGCUGAAAUUAUUUUUUGGCUAUACCUUUAAUUAUUAUUACCUUGAUUUUAGUGAAUUGUCAUUUAAUUUUUAGUUGGCUCUUUUAUUCUUAGUUGAAUUGUUUUAAUUGCCACCCUUUAUAAAAACACCCCCUGUGUUAUUUUGGAUUUCUAAAGAGACAAAUAUCCCCAGUUCCUGAGGAUACGACCCUACUUGCUCUGUCUACAAAUUCAUAAUUAUUUGUGAAAAAAGACAUCCCAUUCGGGUAUAUCGGAUCAAGUAAACUCUUCGGGAACAGGGUGAAUCAAGUAACACAUUGUACACCUAGAGUUCCUGCUCCAGUACUUGGAAUCGGGUUUUGGUUACUUUAACUGGCAAUUAAGUUUAUUUUAUUAUUGUACAGGUUUCGACAACCUGUCAUAAACGUGGCUCAAAUGUCCGAGAGGAGAGGGGGGCAACGUUUUACUUUUGUUUUAGUGGUUGCAAUUUGCAAACAAUGAAAAGCCCAAUGACAAUUGAAGGCGUUAGAUUGCCUUAAUAGUGUGAUUCGGGUUUGGUUUCUGGGCUGAUCUGUUUUGGUUAAGGAAGCAGCAAGCCUUGUCUGCUUUAUGUUGCUUAGGCCUAUCUAUAAGGUCGUUUGAAGAGAUGAUCCAGUUCUCAACAAAAUCUGUCGGCAAGUUUCAACAUGCGUGGGCCAACGAUUGCCUCCUAAAUCAAUAGGGUAGGCUUGAUUGGGAUGUUACUGGCAUCCUCUUGGAAUUCGCUGACUAGUGAUUUGACAACUUUUGGCUGGAAUUCGCCCCAUUUUCCACUCCAUUUCAACUCCAGCAGCGGGCACCUGUCUCCGUCGCCAGCCUUGCAUAUUUUAGUUAGUAUUGUGACAUGGUGGGCUUACCCGUUUUGAAUGCGUUCCCUUUAGAUUUUUUUUUUUAACUUUUCUAACGAGCACUCGUUAACACAUUUAAAUCACAUCUAACUUAUCAUAUAAAUAUACACACUAAUAAUUAUUACCCUUCUUUACAUUUAUAGAUAUUCUCUAAUUAACUUUGCUUUUUCAAAAUUUUAGUACCUUAUUAAGUACAACUUAAGGAAUGACCACGGAGUGCCCAUUAGGUAGAUUUUUUUUUUUUUUGAUUUUAAUAAUGCUUUUGAUGCAUUUGGCUUUGACUAUGAUUUGAAAUGAGGACGUCACAGCUCCUGAGAUAAUUCCAAAAUCACUGGGGCUAGAGUUCAUUGUUCCUACAUAUCAUUUCGUUUACAUACAAACUCUAGGUGGGGAACGGGGGAGGGGCAAAAAGGCAAAGCCACAAACGAAUUACCCUGCGAAUUUAAAUAUAUUUCCAGCAGUUUCAAGUAAGGUUGUGCAUCACAAGGAAGUACGUACUAUGCUUAAUUUCUUUGUUCUAAAAAAAAUUUAGAGAGUACAAUAAUGUAUUUGUUUGAUCUUGAGCUUCCUCUUCAUUUCUAAUACAAGUCCAAUUGGACUCCUCUACUCUUAUACAUAGUUAUUAAACCCGAUCCGACCCGACGUGAAAUAUAUAACCGAAGCUGUAAGCAUGGUGUUACACUGUUACUCAAAGGGCCUAAGCUACUUCACGCAGAGUUUCACUUUGAUCCCAUUCAUUCACUAUUCAGCAAGGGAGGUGAGACUUGAUUGCUUGGUUGUUUACUACUCUUGGGAAGCAAUUGUUGCUGGUCCAUUUGGAUGAUUCUGCUGGUAUUUAAUUAACACGAUGUUAUGCGAAAAUCACCUAAACCAUGUUACAUUUUUUUGUUUUUUGUAAUAAGUCCCUGUAUCGAAGAGGUUUGCAUCCAACUGAAAAAGAAAUAAUUAAGCUCAAAAAAUUACACUUUAUAGACCGCUGACUAAUUGAUAAUACGCUCUAGGCUGGAAUGUCAGCAAUUCCAUUCUUUGUUCAGUGUUGGUGCAUUUCUAAAAGAGGGCUGCCUUUGAAUUCAUCCACGACAUGACAAGCUUGAUUUGGAUAUCUUGGCAGACAAUAACGCUAUUAGUGGUUUGUUACAACCCACAAUAUGCAAUUUUUUUUUAUUGUUUGAAUUCAUACCAUUUUGUAACUGUUUAAUAAGACAUGAUAUGACAAGCAAAAAAAAAAAAAAUUUCAGCUUGUUAGGUGCAAUUGCUGUAAUACUUGGUCUAUAUAAUUAAUGCGUAGUAAGAACUUCUGUUGGGAUGUACGAAUUAUCUUUCUAAUGUUUUUCGGGGAGAGGCAUCAAUUUCAAAGGCAUCAUAUGCAUGGUUUCUCUUGAACCAAUUGACCCGCGAAAAAAUAUUAAUUAUUCUAUGACAAAUUAUAGUACUAUAAAACAUUAGUAAUUUACUCGGUUUACUAAGAUUUUCUAACAUCAUUGUGUACUUAAAGCGUAACAAAGUAUUCAAAAUUAUUAAUCCCAAUCGUAUUCAAAGUGUCCAUCCGAUAGACAUGUACUAAUCACAGUCGGUAGUGUUAUUAUUAGUGUACAAAUUAAAUUACUAUAGCACAAUAUUGUGUACAGAUAAUCAAAAUGACAACUGCAAAUGGAAUAUUCCCAUUAUAUAUCAUAAACCGGGUAAAUGCCAUUGUCCAACUCAGCUCUUCAUCAGAGCCAACCUUACAAAUAUCAUGCUCGAUAAGCAUCAUUUUUUUGGAAAUAUGCUUUGGCUGACGAAGCCAUCCUCAUGACCCAUCAGAGUUAUUGAAUCAUGAUGGAUGUGCCAAAAAAAAAAAAAAACAAGAAGUUUUGUCGUCCUAUCUGUUCAUCUUGGAGGUUCAUAUGCACUAAGUAACGCAUAUUGGCAAGUGACAAGAAACUUCCGAGAGCUUUAAUUUGUCCUUUCAAGAAGCUGCAUGAUUAGUUGUAUAUCUUUCGGUACACAGAAUUAUUGUACAAAGAAUAUAAUAAAUAUAGCGUGGUUGGAAGCCUAGCUAUAUAAGAGCGGUGCUGUCUCUAAUUGUUUCAAAUCAAGCAUAGGCAAAGAUGGGUUAUGAAGAUCAAAAGCCUCUCAUUUUCAUGGUUGUUUUGCAGUUUGUGUAUGCAGGAAUUACUCUAUCUACAAGGGCUUCGCUCUUACAGGGAAUGAGUCCCAGAGUUUUUGUGGUUUAUCGGCAAGCCCUAGCCGCUUUGCUUGUAGCUCCUGUGGCAUUUUUCAGGUCAAGGUACAUUUAUGGGAUAUCCAACUUCUUUCUAUUCAUCUUAUGCCAUGAAAUAUAGAAUUUUGAAAUUAGGCCAAAUCUAGCUCUGCUUUGAUUAUUUUAAUUCUUUUUUUUUUCUUUUUGAUUUUGGAGUGCAGGAAAGGAGGAAACACAUGUUCUUUAGGAUGGAAGAACUUCUGGUUAAUAUUUCUAGUUUCUCUUGUCGGGUAAGUUUUAGUUAAAGUAUGAAACUGUAUACAUUCCGGACGGUACAUGUGGCUGAAUACUUGAUUACUUGCCCAUUGAUUUCCUCUGCAGUGUGACGGUGAACCAGAAUAUUUAUUUUGAGGGACUAUACUUGGCGUCAUCAUCAAUAGCAAGUGCAAUGGGGAAUCUACUACCUGCAAUUACUUUUGUUUUGGCAUACAUUGUGGGGUAAUUCCAAAUAAUUCAAGAAUUAAGAAAAGUGUAAUUAAGAAGUUGAUUGUUAAAAUGAUCUACAUCUUUGAAUAUAGACAUUCAUCACGAGAUAACUUAAAGCUUUAAAUGGUUUUUUUUAAUGGCUUUCAUCUUUCUUUUUAUUUUCUUUGAAAUAACUAGAGCUUUAUUUGAGUUUAAGGUGUUUUUAAAAAAAAAAACUUUUUUAUUUUUCUCAAGUCUAGAGCAAUAAACUCUAAAAGUAACUUCAACAACUCUAAAAACACAACAUCUCAAACAGGAGGAGGGAGGAGGGAGAGGGGGGAGGAGGAGGGAGGAAGGAGAAGAGAGGAGGAGGAGGAGAAAGAAGGAGAGAGAGGAGAGAGGAGGGAGGAGAUGAUGGUGGUGGGUGGUGGUCAUAGGUGGUGUAAAUUUUUUUUAAAAAAUAUUUUAAAAAAAUUAUAAAUUCUAAAAAUAUUCCAAAAUACAUUCGAAAAAAUCCCCUAUAAAUACCCUUAAAACAUCCUAAAAACAUUUAUAGUAAAGUUUUUUCAUAUAUAGAGUUACGGUAAGGUUUUUUGAAAAAAUCCCCAAAAACAGCUAAUAAUAGAAAUAACCCAAGAAUAUAUUGUUCUAGUGUUCUUAAUUCAUAUUUUUAUAUUAUCAGACAAGAAAAAAUAAACAUCCGAAGCUUGAGAAGUAAAGCAAAAUUCUUCGGCACGAUCAUAUGUGUUACCGGAGCCAUAAGCAUGGUGUUACUCAAAGGGCCGAAGCUACUUAACAAAGAGUUUCACUCUGAUCCAAUUCAUUCAAUAUUGAGAUUGAGCAAGGGAGGUGAGACUUGGUUGCUUGGUUGUUUACUACUGUUCGCAAGCAAUUGUUGCUGGUCAAUUUGGCUGAUUUUGCAGGUAUACAAGUUCGAACAUUGUUGAGAUCAUAUUAUGUGAAAGUCACUUAAACACGUUAUAUCUUCUCACAGGCACCGGUGUCCAAGAGCUAUCCUGAUCAUUUAUCUCUAACAGCAUGGAUGUGCUUUAUUGCUGCCUGGCAAUCGGCAAUUGUGGCAUUCUUUAUCGAGAAAGACUUAGAUGCUUGGAAAUUACAAACACCUCUGGAACUUGGAUGUCUAUUCUUUUCAGUAAGUGUGAGGUUUGCAUUCAAUUGAAAAAAAAAAUUAUGUUCAUAAAAUUUUACUCUUAGACCACUGAUAAAUUAAUUCUAUUAUAGGCAGGAGCAUCAGCAAUUUCGUUCUUUGCUCAGGCUUGGUGCAUAUGUAAAAGAGGACCACUUUUUUCUGCCAUGUUUAAUCCUUUAUCCACUGUCAUUGUGACCUUUAUCGCCUCCACAUUCUUUCGAGAAGAGCUCUACAUUGGAAGGUAAUACCUCUCGCUGUAAUUUUGAACAUCAUAUAUUGUCAUGGAGGGAAUAUUAGAUGAAUUUGAAUGAAAAACAUGAAGUGUUAGCAUGUUAAAAUCUCAAACAAAUUCGAGUGUACAGAAUUAGUAGCAAUAUAUUCUCUCAGCAUGUUACACAAAAUAAUGUGUUCGAAUUCAAGCACAACAGAACAACUUUGAUUUUAAAUCCAGGCACACAAUAACAUACAUUUGUUAUUUUUUGGGCCCAACCGAAAAUCCCAAAAGGUUGAUUAUAACUCUACCACAUAAGGUUUUAAAAGCAAGUGAUUGGUAGCAAAUAUGAUUGAGAUAUAGAUUGUCUUGAGUUUGGAAUUGGCUGAGAAAACCAGUUUUCUCAUUAGUUCUUACCAAUGCUUUGAUUAUUGUUUGUGAUGGUUUAAUAUGAUAUCAUCUGACAGAAAGACAUCUUUUUCAGCUUGCUCGGUGCAAUUGCUGUAAUAUUUGGACUGUAUAUUGUGCUAUGGGGCAAAGCUAAAGAUCACAUGAUUAACAGCGAUGUAGAAAAGAAGCCAGAGGAGGAAAAAAUUAAUUAUACAAUCGUUGUCGAUGAAUCCACAGACAAAUUGAGUUGUAGAAUCGAUUUGGAAGAACCCCUUUUGCAUAAACAGACAAUAGAUCUCAAAGAUGAUCAGAAACAUUAGUAUUGAUGGGAAAAGUCUGUAUUUCUACAUAAAUGAGGUUCAAUAUUGUGAAGAAGACAGGACUCCUCUUCUAAGAAGAGAUUUUGUAAUUGCGCUUCCGGUUCUAGGCAUUCAUCAUUGGUGUUAUUAGCCUUUAUCCCCCCGGCAAGGGACAACUUGAUUUGAAAUUUCUAAUAAUCAUUUGAGAUAUUUGAUGGGAUCUAUAUACAAAGAGAAUUUCUUUUAGGGAUAACUUCAGAAACCUCAAGGGAGGUUUCUGACAAUUUCACUAAGCUCCUCUAAAGUUUGAAAAAUAAUACUUACCUUCCUUGAUUUGAUAGUUUUAGUAACAAAAUCUUAAAAUAAUAUUGACUUGGACAAUUUUUUAAAUGAAUACUCAAAAAUGCUCUUGUGGAAUGAGUUUUAAUUACUUCUCUACACAAUUAUGAGAUUAUUUAGUAUAAUUAUAAGGAAAAGGUGCCAAAUUUUUCAUGUCUAUAUUUACUAUUUGAUAAACAACUAUAAUAUAAUUUUAUUACUAUGAUAUGAUAUUUUUUAUGGCAUUUUAUUAUGAAUUUAAAUUUAUAAGAUAGAAAAGAAAAUGUUUAAAUAAUUCAUUUGGAGUUUAUAAAUUUUUGGAGUAGUGGUAUUAUCAUAAUUUAGUAGUACUUUUGGGCCAUUUCUUUUUGAUUUAUUGUUAAUUUUAAUACUAAAAACUAGAAAACGAAGAUCAGCAAAAACAUUGGAUUACAUAUAAAAUUACCUCGUCAAAAAAAUCACUAGUUCGACAUUUGGUUAUAGUAGAAACUUAGAGGCAUUAGUGGUAGUUCUACAAUUUUAUUGGCAAAAAAUUUUUAAAAAAAGGAAUAAAAAGGAAAAAGAAUGAAAAAAUAAUUUUAAAACUCAUUCUAAGUAUAAGCAUACCAAAUAAGAGAAUUUCUUUAAAAUAUUUAAGGGUAAAAUUGUCAUUUUAAAUGACAAAAAUGACAAGGGAGGUAUGUGUAAUUUUUCGAACCUUAGGGGAGCUCAGUGACAUUGUUAGAAACCUCAGGGGAGGUUUCUGAAAUUAUCCCUUUCUUUUACCAUGUACAAGUUAUUUUUCUCUUUCUUUCUUUCUUUUUUUUUUGGUUUUUUGGAGAGUCGAGUUGGUCGCUAGAAAAUUCACAAAAUAGUAUCAUCUCAAAAGCAUCAUGUAAAUUCAAAGUUUCUCUUCAAACUUUGUGGUUCAACCAAAUUAGUACAUUUUACAUGUGAAUUAUAUUAAUCAAACUUUCCGCAAAAUUAGGUAUUGACGAUUCAAGUGCCAAUCUCAGCAUAAUGAAGCAUGAACCAUACUAAACGCGCCAUUGUUAUUAACACAAAUUACUCUUGUCAUUCAACCACAGUUGUGCUCUUAUCAUGCUAGAAGUCUACUAAAUGACAUUUUCCAGCUCACUUCUACAUAAGAGCCAACCUCGUUUCUACGAAUGAUCAUGUUCGAUAAGGAUCAUUUCGAAAAGAUCCUGGUCUGACAAAGCCUUCCUGAGAUGAUUCAUUAUCAAUAUUUAUCAUUCAAUGAUGGAUGGCAAAUUGUUUUACUGGCUUACGUUGACCAAGAAACAACAAUUUUUGUCAUCUUUUGUAUAAAUCUUGUAAGUUCAUUUGUAUUGCAUCUGCACAUUAGUUGCUGACAAGAUACUUCAAAAAAAUUUGGUCAUUAUAUAGUUUAAUAAAUUUUGUACAAAGUGUGCCCACCCACAUGCAUGCUUGAAGCUUAUAUACAACAAAAUGUACUCCGACGUCAGUCUUCAUAUGGUCUAACUUUUUCGUAGAAUCUGCAAAAUUGCAAAUAUGGGUUUUGAAGAUCAAAAGCCUCUUAUUGUCAUGGUUAUGUUAGUUUCUCUAUGCAGGAAUCACUUCAUCACUAGAGCUUCCUUGUUACAGGGAACGAGUCCAAGGGUUUUCGCGGUCAGCUAUCUAUAGCCACUUUGCUUGUGGCCCUUGUGGCUCAUUUUAAACAGAGGCGUAUUUAUAGGAAUUUUAAAUCCUUUCUCCUCGUCUCAGAAUGUGAAACAUAAAUUAUGUACUGGAUCAAUUACACGAAAACCUAUAGCCUCUUUGGCUGUUGGGUGGUCAAGUUUCGACCCUUGUCUCCCAACACUUGUUACUAAUAAGUGGUUUCUACAAAUUCAAACGGGUGUGUAGUGCACCCGUCUGAUCCGAUAGUGAUUCAGUCCCCCUUGAUUCCCCCUAAUCUAGCUAGACCCUCCCUUAGAUAGGUUAUAGUGUAGGAGCAAGAGCAGUGUAGAAAGUGAUGAUUGACCCAAAAUAAAAAUUUACACAAAAUUUUUUUUUUUUUUUUUUUGGUUGGGGUUGCCCGGAGUAAGAUAAGUAGAUAUUCUUUAGGAUGGAAGAGGUUGAUAUUUUAAGGACAAAUUCCACUUUGCACCUUUGAACUUAUAUCACUUUCUCACUUUGUACUCUAAACUUCAAUUUUGAACACUUUACACCCUAAACUCUCAAUUUGAGACACUUUACAUGAUAAAUUCUUAAGUUCGUCAUAUUUAAAUCUAGUUAAUAACAACUUUUAAAAAAUUAACUGCAUAGAGGAUCUAACAAAUCAAUGAUAAUGUGCCAAAAGUAAUCAAAAGGUGCCAAGGUAUUAUAGCAAAAAUAAAACAAUACAUUAUCAUUAAUUUGUUUUAUUUUUUUCACUAUCAUUGAUUUGUAUCAUCUUUUAUCUCAUUAAUUUGCUAAUAAUAUUAAUAAUUGAGAUCAUAUAAAUAAAUGAUAAUGUGCUAAACAUGAGCAACAAAGCUAAGGAAUCGUAGUCGAAACAAAACAGGACAUUGUUGUUAAUUUUUAUCGCUCUUUAUCUCAUUAAUUUUGCGAAUAUAAUAGUUGAUUGGACUUAAAUGGAACAACUAUGAGAGUUUAGGGUGAAAAGUGUCCAAAAUUAAAAUUUAGGGCGCAAAGUGAGAAAGUGAUACAAGUUCAGAGGUGUAAAAUCAAAUUAAUCUUAUUUUUAAUAUCCCUCAUUUUGUAAGUUAUUCUCUUUUGAGUAUCUGUGUGUAUGUGGAAGCUAAACUAAUGUGAGUAUCCAAUUGAUUAAGUUUUUCCUCUAUACAUUCCUUGUGCAGAGUAACAUUUAACAAGAAUCUCAAUUUUAAGGGCCUAUAUACAUUUGGCCUCAUCUUCAAUAGCAAGUGCAAUGGUCAAUUUACUUCCUGCAACAACUUUUGCGGCGGCCUACAUUGUCGGGUAACUAUCAAGGAGAUUAAUGCAAAUUUAAAGAGGACUGAGUUUACAUUCAUCAUGAAAAAGUAAAUGAUUCUAUAUACAAUGGAUGAUCUCAUCCCUUUUACUUUUGAUUGCAUAAUUAUUAUGUUAUCUCAAAGCAACAGAAAUCUAUUAGCACAGUAACUUAUAUAAAUUCUUUUGAACUCUUUUUGUCUAUAAUUAUUUCUUAAAUUUCACUCGAAUACCGUACCUUAAUAUAUGUCAAUUACAGAUUAGAGAAAGUGAAUAUCCAAAGCUUCAGGAGUAUAGCCAAGAUCAUCGGAACAAUCAGCUCUGUUGCUGGAGCCAUAAGCAUGCCAUUACUAAAAGGGCCAAGAACUCUAAGCAUGGAGCUUCAGCUAAUGCAUUCGUUAUUCAAAAAGGGAGAUGAGAUAUGGUUGCUUGGUUGUUUCAUCCCCUUAGCAGGCACAAUUUGCCGGUCAGCUUGGCAACUUUUGCAGGUGAAACCACCCGAUAUUUCUCUAUUGGAAUCACACAAUUUGAGAAUCAGUUAACAGUAUAUCCAUAUUUGUGUUGCAUUUUCUCAACAGGUGCCGGUGUCCAAGAGCUAUCCCGAUCAUUUACCCGUAACAGCAUGCAAGGAUGUGCUUCAUGGUUGCCUUGCAAUCUGCAGCUGUCACGUUUUUCACUGAGAAAGAUUUCACAAGCUUGGAAAUUGCACUCACCUUUGGAAAUUGGAUGCCCUUUAUAUACUGUAAGUUUUGUACUUUAAUUUGAUAGUUUCCAUUUUACAACCAUUUUGUAUCGAAGAUAAAUUUGAAAGAGUUCAUCAAUAUUAUACCUGGCUGGAGCACCAGCUCAAUCUUGGUGCAUUUCGAAACGAGGUCCAAUUUUCUGUGCCAUGCCAUGUUUAAUCCCGUAAACAACGUAACUAUCACCAUGUUCCCUUGUACGUUCAUCCACAAAGAGAUUUACUUAGGAAGGUAUUACCUGCAUUGCAAAAAUUGAUUAAUACCUUUUAUUCCUUAAGACUCCAGUGUUCCGAUUUCUUUAUUCUUUGGAUGAUAAAUAAUUGGGAAAAUGAUCGGUUUCAUCCUUCACAUUUCACAAAAAUAUUUUUUUCGUCUCUCACUUUUAAAACGAAGCAAUUUCAUCCUUAACAUUUUAAAACUGAAGUUCUUACGUUCCUGAACCCAAAUUUCAAUCUGAAUCAAACCACCAAUCAACCUGAUUACAAAUUUUGGGAGUGUAAUUAGUAGAUCAUUUGGUUAACUCAACUUGAUAUUCAUGUAAAAUUUAAUGAACCAAAAAAGAAAAAAGAAAAAAUUAUAACAUAAAAAAGAAAGAUUAAUCUUUCCUACAUUAUCAUUGUAUACACUGACGGUUUUAUGAACCGCCAUAUCAUUUCAAUUUAAAUUUAAACACCAAAUUUUAUAUUUAUGAUACACAUCUAGAUUCGCAAGCGGAUAUACUAACGAUGUAUGAAAAGAUUUACCAAAAAAAAAAUCCCCACUAUUCCAAGACAAAGAAUGACCUUUUAUGUUAUAAUUUUUAUUUUUUUGGUUUAAUAAAUGUCAUGUGAAUAUGAUGAAAUUGACCGAGUGAUCUAUCAAUUCUAUUUCCGAAAUUUAUUACUGGGCUAUUGAAUGAUUUGAUUCAGAUUGAAAAUUAGGUUCAGGGAUGUAAUAGUUUUAAUUUUUAAAUGUCAGGGAUGAAUUUGCUUUAUUUUAAAAGUGAGAGACGAAGAGAAUAUUUUUGCGAAAUGUGAAAGAUGAAACAGGUCAUUUUCGCUAAAUAAUUUAUAUAUUUACUCAUAUUGAAUUUUGAAGCCCUUUAAAUUGAUAACUUAUCGGUUCCAUCGGCCUCGAGGAAUUUAUGGCCUCGUUUUCAUGUACCAAAGAAAUAUCUAAAACUAGCUUAUUUUCUAAUCUAAGACGCAACUUUACCACAAUAAGCUAGAAUUUCAUAAUUACGUAUUACUUUUCCAAACAGCUCUUGGAAAAUAUCUUAUACCGAUUUGCCCAAAAUAUCAGUUCCUAGUUUCAUCUGCUGACCAAGUCGAAUUUGAGUUGAAAAAUACUAUUGUUAGCUUGCGAGUCAGUUCGAACUCGAAUAUAUACAUAUAUAUAUAUAUAUAUUAUUUUUUAUUUUAAUAAUAAAAUAACAUAUAUAUCCCUAAUAUUUUAUUAUUUAUUAAGAAAAAUUAUUAUUUUAUUUAUUUAUUAAAAAUAAAAUAUCUAUUUUUUAUCUUUUUAAACUCGAACUCGAAUUUGAGUUUCGUAAAAUUAUGUUGAGCCUCGACUUGAUUAAGUCGAAGUUGUACUCCACGAGUCACCCCUAACUUGGCCUAUACAUUAUGGAGGAAAAGGAAUCUUAGAACAUUUCAAUUGAUUCUUUAUGAAAUUCUUGAGAUAUGUUCGUCAUGCCAAUAGCUGGAUGGAGGAGAAUUCCAAAGACUCGAGAGAAUUGGGAGCUGACUUUACAUUGGAACUUUUCAAUGCAAAUUUUCUGUUGAUUGUAUAGAAUAUAGUGAUUGUGAUCAGUUUUAUUUUCUUUGCUUAGUUGUAUAGAUUCCAGUACUAUGUGGUGACUGUGCAGGUGUCUAUAUUUAACUUUUAUUUUUCUUUGCAUAUUUCUCAAAGCUAAGUAAGUACUAAAUGAUUGUUUUGAGAUGAAACAGUAGAAGGGGAUGGUUGAAAGCCACAUUACACCAACAACAGCACUAACAAAAUUGAGCUACUCUACCAUUCAGUCUAGCCAGCUUUUGAAAUUAAAAAAAAAAAAAAAAAAAAGAAGUCAUCAUAAGAAAGGCCAAAUAUAUUGACUGGCAGGGAACAUUCAAUUGACUCUUGGGUGAUGGUAAUUACUUAUUUCCAUCAAAAAGCAAAAAUUACAUGUACGAUCCCAACCAACAAAACCCACCAACAAUGGUAGGUAUGGAGAGGAGUGAACGACGAAAACCCAGAGAUGAUGGGUCUUUACUCUUUACAGCUUUUCAUUGUUGGUCCUGCAAAUAAUUGGAGAGACAGAAAGGGACGUCGACUUCCAUUAACUCAAAAGGAUAAUUUGAAAUCUGACCCCAGUGUCCGGUGGGCUAUUGCAAAGUCUGGUGGUGAAAGAAGAAAAAAAAAAUCCUUCACCACACAAUUGGGGAUAAAAUCAAUAAGAUGAGAUAGAAGCAAAUGAAUGCAUAAUCAGACUCAGAAACCCAAGGACAAGUGCGAUGCAUCCUAAUCCACCUGACAACCUCAAUUGCCUAGCCCUUAAUAAUAUUUCUGCCACAUGGUAGAACUUUUGGAGUGAUCUGGAUUUUGGUCAAAUUGAAUUUAGCAUCUAAAUUAGGGCUGUCAACGGGCCGGGUCCGAGCCAGAAUUCAUUAUUCCGAACCCGGAUUCGAUCCGUUUACCCGAUGGGUCUUUUAUUCUAUGUUCCGGAUCCGGAUCCGGCAGGUCCCGGAUCCGGAUCGGGUUUACCCGAACAAAUUUAGCAAAAUUUAUAAUUUCUAAUAAAAAUGAGAAAAAAAUAUAUUUAUAAACUAAUUUCUAACUAAUGCAAAGAAAAAACCAAAUAAGAAAAGAAAUCAAAUUGACUUUACUCAAAUACAUCACCCUAAUCAAAUUAUAUUGAUAAAUAUAUAUUUUUUAAAUUAUUAAUUCAUUUAUAUCCGGAUCCGGGUCUAAUACAGGUCGGAAUACUAUAUUCCGUAUCCGACCCGUUUUUUUGUUUGACAAAACGAAUCCGAAUCCGGGAAACGGAAUUAAAUACCUACCUAUACCUGCAAUAAUUUCGCGAAUCCAGGUCUAGAUCCGACCUUUGACAGGCCUAAUCUAAAUCACAAUAGCGUAGACAAUUAACAAACUGCAUAGGACUCAAACUGGAGCCCGCCACAAAAGAAAUCAAAGCUUUAAGCAAAGAGAGGAAUAAGGGCAUAUCUAAAUCAAUGAUUGUUGGCCACUAUAAAAAAACAGUGAGGAGCAACUUACCCUUUUUUUGCAGGUAAUCAAGCAGAAAAAUUUUUUAUUUCUUAAUUAGAAGAAAAGCACCAGAAAACGUGGCAUUAAGAACAGGAAGUCUUUCCUGCAUUAAAGAGAGAAAGAAUGGACAAAAAUCCGACAAAUUUUGAAGGCCAAAACUUUAGAGAUCAAACUCAAGUACGCAGAGCAGAACCUGUUCAGAAGCAGAUCUGAAAAUGGCAGGGAAAUCUGCCAAUGUUUUUGUCAAAGACUGAAAAGUCUAUAUAGAAACUAAGCAUUAACGUAGGAAAUCAAUCAUCCAACAUGGUCUGAAUGAGCAAAAUCAAGCUAUACAUAGAAGCAACUAACAAAUAGGUAGGAAGUUGUAUUGCAUACAUUAUUAGAAAACCAGUUUCAAUCCAAACUCUAAUAUCUACUCAGAUAUGAGCUUGAUCGCUCAAGGGUAGCGCUUCCAUGCAUUAUCCUCCCUGUUGUUUCUGAAUGCGCAGCAUCCUAUAGAGUAUACUAUGAUGAGGAAGACCAGCACUAUAAUAUUCAGAAUGGCCUCCUUCUUCCAAUCACUCUUGAUAUUGUCCAGCAGACCAGCCUUGCAUGAUUGGCAGUUGUAGCAUAGAACUUUCUGAUCAUUACUCCAAGCCGUGCAGUCUGGAUUAGUAGACCCUGCUGUUCCUGUCCAGUUGGUUGGGGUGACAUAGGUGAAUUUGCACUCAUCUGGUGGCUUGCAGCAUCCAGACUGGCAAGAGUAAAUGAACAGAGAAUGAGAGAGACAACAUAAAAACGAUUUAACUGCAAAUGAACUAAUUUCAAUCUAGUCAUAUAUCUGUGAAGAACCUUUCCAAGACAUCGAGUUUAGGCACAGAAGCUGAAAAUUUUACAGAUUCUUUCACAGAAAUUUGAGGCGUGCAACUAGUACAUCAACCAGGAGACGAUUCUCAAAAUCACAAAAGGAACAUCUUAGUUUAUAACAACCUAGCAGUUCAACAAUGUGUCAAAUGUAUUAAAAACAUGCUUCCAAUUCAAAAAUGGAAAAUGCAAUCAAUCCAAAGCAGGACAAUUUAUGAUUUUACAGCAACAAGUUGAAUGCCAUUAUUCUCCUCUGGAGAUACUUGUUUGAACAUGUAUAAUAGCAAAACAAAAAUUGACAGAAUAAGCAAUAGGGUCAAGUAAAUUGAUAUAUCAUUAUUCUUAAAGGCACCACUUUAUGCACCACACCACUUUUUGCAACAAGAAAUAUAUACAAGCAGCAUCACCAAUCUGUCUCAGACAAAAAGCAGAACAUUUUAAGUCGAGAUUCUAGUCAAGUCUCUCAACUUUAGGAAACUACUCAAUAACCAUCAUUCAAAUAUAACAGAUCCAUGGCAGUUAGUGAUUCCAAGUGAAGAUCAAUACCCUUUCUCAAGAAACUUAAAAAAGUAAAAUUACUAUACCAACAAGAACAAACUACUGACACACAGUCCCAGCCCCUAAAGAUAUCUUCCAAUUGAGUAUCCAGAUCUAGAGCGAGGCAGCAAAAACAGAAAACCCCUUCUCCCCUCAAGUGAAAAACUCAAGUUUUAGCUCAAAAAGAAAAAAGAAUGACAACCAUGCAGGUAUGGAGAGCAACAAAAGAUGCAAUACUUAUGAAUCUGUACAUACCUGAAGAGCAGAAAGCGUUUCCUUGUUAAAUUGUCCUAAAGGAGUGGCACCUUGUUCAAUCAGGUGCUUGCAGAUCUGUGAGUCCUGAAGACAACUUCUAAUCCUGGGCCAAUUUUUGUUCACCCUUUUCUGCAACCAAGUGUUGUAAUCCCCAAGCCUGUACUCCUUAUACCCCUUACCUGCAAGGGCCUCACCAGCACCUUUAUUUGUAACCACAAACGCAAAGAUUGUGAAGCAAAAGAGGAGCACAAUCAACAGAAACAUGACCAAAAGGUACACCCAAAGAAGCCAUGAAACUCUGCAACAUGAUCCAAUGAGUCCUGCCAAUGAAACCAACAGCAGAAACGCCCCCAAUACUAUCACUGGCUUUUCAAGAAAACGUUCACAUUCAGUAUUGGACUGCUUUGCUAGCCAAAUCCCACCUGCAAUUAUUGGGAUUGACAACAACAGCGUCAGAAAAUUCAGUAUCCCAAGCAAACUGUUGCUGCAACGUGGCAUUUUCUCUGGUAUUCUUGAAAACGAACCAAAAAUAUCAGUAACUUCUCAAGAAGCCAAGAAGCAAAAGGGGUGAUUAAACUCCAAUAGUUAUGUGCUUCUUAAUGGUGAACGAACCUAGUUAACGGUGAACAGUUUUACCAGUUUUAUAGUAGGAUCCGAUGGAAAAUUGAUCUGGGUUGGAGCUAAGAAAGCGAGAAUCUGGAAAAUAAAAAGGAAGAUAUGAUGAAUGGAACAAAGGGUAAGGGUGGUUAUAUAAUACUGGUGAAGACGGGCCGUUUAAUUGCAUUCUUAGUCCUCUAAGUUAUCAUUCUAGCCCAUGUAUCACGCAGUACCCUAUUGCGUGUAAUAGAUUCAUUAGCAUUCAUUUUACUAUAUAUAUGAUGAUUGAAUUAACUAAGAUUUAAUUUCACAUAAAUUUAUGUCAUCUUUCAUAAAUUGAUUCUAAUUUUUACUUUUUGUUUGCAUAUUUUUUUGUUUGUAGAGUCAAAGAACAUUUUGUGUAAAUUAUUAGUAGUACAACUUUUUGUUUGGUCAAAAGAAUUUAGAUGGAUUAGUCUUGACUCAAAUGGAGUAUCUAUAUUAGCAGGAGCGAAUGAUCAAUUGUGAUUAAUUAUUAUGCAAUCUACACAAGCAUAUAUAUAUAUAUAUAUAUAUGUUCACAAUCAAUAAAAAAAUUAAUCCAAUUUAGAUGCUUACACAUAUUUAAGAGUAGGAAGGAAGGAAGUGGUAUGGUAUCUCUCUAAUUCAAAGCUGAAAGAUGUAGUCCCCUGUGUUUCAAUAGCUACAAUUGUUUGUAGGUUUAAAUUGACAAAAAUGGAGAAGAUGAGAGACUAAGGUAAGAAAACCCAAAAUGUUGGGGUCCCAAAAUCUGUAUGGGGAAAUGUGAAACUCGUGGAGGUUGAGCUGGUCUGGAAUUUGCUAAGGAGUUUCGGAGACGUGUGGCCGUUUCCGAAAAAAUUUCAGCGUCAAGCGAUAAGCCCAGUGCGCCACGUGUGACACGUCGUACUCGCCGUGUGAAUUAAUUGGACAAUCGCAACAAGGAAUCGAAACGGAUGGGAAAGCGUGGGACCAGACUAGCAAUGCCAAAAAGUGUUUUUCUUUUUCUUUAUCUUUUUUGAGCCCAUUAGAAGCCAAAAAUGUAACAAUAAAAAGUUUUGACGCUAUGGUAGACUUGAUCGUUUUGGCUAGUAACUUAUCUUGAAGGAUGAUGUGACUUUUGAUCAAGAACAGGAACAUUAGAAGAUUUCCAAAAUCUUUAAUUUUAAAUGUCCCUCCCCUUUUACCCCAACCAUUAUUGUCUCGAUGGAAGAUGAUUGAAAAAUACUCUUGUUACGAGUGUUUGGAUUAAAAAAAAGAAGAAGAAGAAGUCUUUAUGAUGUGAUGUAUUUUAUGAUUAAAAAAUGGUUAGAAAGAUUUUUUUUUAGAAAAAAAAAAAAGAAAAACAAUGUUUAUUAUGCAUAGGAUUGAAAAAUAAACCAAAUUACAUGAUAUUUGAAUCAAAUUUGACUUAUUAAGAACUCAUUCAAAUUUGGAUCGCCAACUAGUCAAGUUAAGAUUGAACAGCAUUUUAUAUUCGCCAACAUUUAAAUUCGAUAAAAAAAUUAGUUCAAACUCGAUUUGGCAAAAUAAAUAAGUCAAAUUUGCAUAAAAUUUUAAAUUCAUUAAAAUAAUCAAACAAACUUGAAUACUAGGGUGUUCAGUUUGAUUAGACUAGUUUACACCCCUAAUUAUGCAUGUGAAAAAAAUCUUUUUUUUUUUUUUUGCAAAAAAAGAAUAUAUCCAAAAUCUUCUGGUCACUUAAUCUUUGAGACUAAUAUUCAAUGCUGACUGACUCAAUGCAAUUUAUGAUACAAAUUCAAAUAUCCACUUCAUUUUUUUUUUAAAAAAAGGAGUCUUUAUACUUUAAUUGCCUAAUACCUUCUUGAUUGGAUUAAUUUUGGUCUCACUUAGAUUGCAAUUUUUAAAAUUUUUGAAGAAAAAAAAAUAUAUAUAUAUUCUAACAUUGUGAUGUACGAGAUAAAAAGGUAAUUUAAAAUUAUGUCAAACAAAUAUUCCUAGUCAUUGGAAGUUGAUUUUAAAUAGGAGAGAUUCUACAAGAUCACACACACAAGUUAAAUUUAGCAUUAAAUGUGAAAUAAGUGAUGUUAAAUUUCUAUAAUUUCACAACUUUAAAAUUUCAACUGCUAUUAUCAUUAAGGAAUAGAAAUUGAAGAAAUGGUUCCACGAAGGGACCAUACAAUUUCCCAAAGAUUAGUAUCAAAGUAGGUCCUCCAAAAGAAAGAAAAAGAAAUUGUUUAAAGAAGAAAUAAUUGUUUGUAGCCAUAUAUAUAUAUAUAUUUUUUCUUGUUUUUCUCCUAUUUGAGAAAUUGGACGCCGACUUAUAACUUGAAAUCAGGCGAGUCCCGCGCGCCGUGUCCAUCGUUUAGUAAUAAGUACUAUAAUAAAUGAGUAUGAUGAGCUUACUUGGAAUAUUCCAAAGGCAGAGGCAGAGGAUGAUAGUUACUUAAAGCCAAUCAACUCUCUUUCGUCCGUUUGUUUACUCAAAUUCCUUAUCACACGUUAAGAGGCUUCUUUAUAGUCUCGGGGAGUUAGCUUCACAAUCUUGCUGCCAUCCAAACCUUUUGCCCCUUUUUUUUAUUUGUAAAUCUGUUCUCGGAAUUUUCGUACCAACCCUUUCUUUCUUUCUUGGAGCAUUGAGCAGAUACACCAAAAAGAGUGAGUUGUAAGUAAGUAAUGGUUGAAUUGACCAACACAUGUCGCUUUUGCUUAAACCUGAACCAUCAAUAACGCGUAAUUUAAACCAAACUUUUUAAUACUAAUAAUAAUAAUAGACUGAGCCCUUCUUCAUUUUUAGUCCAUUUUAAGAAAUAUUUUAAUACUUAGCUUCAUAAAUCCUCAACUAAUGUAAAUCAAUAUAAGCAUCAUGGACCGAUUCAAAGGAAGAUAGGAAAUUUCCCUUUUUAUUUUUAUUAUUAUUAUUUCCUCAAAUUGGUUGACGGAUAUAAGAAUUACUAAAUAAUAUUUUAUUGUUCAUUAUGUGUGUCAGACGUUUUAGCCAAUUAAAAAGGCAUAAGUUAUUUAUUAUCCCUAAUUUUGGGGUCAACAAUCAAAAAAAAAAUAAAUAAAUAAAUAUAUAUAUAUAUAUAUAUAUAUGUGUGUGUGUGUGUGUGAUUGCACUUUGUUUGUACUGAAUAUAAUAAUUGCAGCAACGGUUACGUGUUUUUUAUGAAUGAAUCAGUACUUGCAACACAAGCACGCUUCUCAAGUUUACAGUUGUUGUACAUUGGAAAUAAAUACACUACCUUAUUGAUCCAUAACGCUGAAACAAAAACCCACAGAUCAGCAUCAGACAAAAGACCAUGCAAAACUCAGCUCCCAAUGCAGAGACAUGAAGACCUAAAGCAGUUUCAAAAUCAAAGGGGCCCUGGGAAAGUCCCAUUCUCCCUCUGCUCGUUCCAUCUCUCAACCUGUAGAAAUGUAGCAGAAACUAGUUAGAAUGCAUUCAAAACUAUGGUAAAAUGGUAGAAUGUUAUCAUCCUAUUGCAUAUGGUAAAAUAGUAGUCAAAGACGUUUAUAUAAUAUAAUAAACAUAAAAAGUGGGAACGCUGGAAAGCCAAUAAAAGAUUUGGUGUUGUACCACUUGGUAAUUCAAAAAGGCCAUCCCCAUCAGCCAUUUAAUAUAUCUCCCUCAAACAACUAGAGGUUUUCCAUACGCCAUUACUAGAGGUGUCAAGAAGAUAAAACGGGCUGCACAGAAAUUCACAUGAGAGUUGCAAGCAACUUCAAGCUCACAAUCCAAAACUUACUCCGAAAGGAACUAAAACAGAUAGUCAAACAUAAAAGAAAAACCAUAGCUGUUUUUGUUAAUAACGAUUAAGUUUUAACUAUGAUGUCAUGUCACCACCCAAUUCCCGUGUAACAUAAAGGAGCAAUAGUUUCCAAUUGCAAUGCCAUCUCAAGCAGAAUCACACAUGAAAUGGGACUUUUUAUGAGGACAACAGUGCUCAUAUCUGACCUUUUGAAGAGGACUGCUGUCCCCCAAGCCUAUGACAAUCAAUACCAACAUUCAACAGGUAAAAGCAAUUCUACAUAUAUAUAUAUAUAUAUAUAUAUACUUACUUACCCAUUCACCAGGACAGAGGGACCUAUAGUACUUGGCAAAUUUUUCACAUUCUCCAGAAUCAUCACCCUUGGCAGCCAAGCACCUGAAAUCCAAAAAAGUGUUGAAUCUGUGUAAACCAAAUCAUUAUGAUAGACCAACAAAAGCUUUACUGUGCUCUAAAGAGAAAACCAGGCAAGAGUAAAACCUAUAUCAAUUACAUAUUCAACCGAUAGAAAAUCAUCUUGAGUACCAAGAUAAAUAUUUCUGUACUCACUCUUUUCUUUUUCCCCCCCAAACAUCAAACCCUAUUCAUGAGCUUCUAGAUUUAAAAUGUUAGGGAGUAGUAAUCUAGUCAAGUAAAAAUAUUUUAACUUAAUCAGGCACUUUCAAAAGAUAUUUGCCUAAAGGUUUCAGCCUACACCUUCUUAACAAACACAAAACUAACUUAAGAUUUCUCUUUCAACAACUGAGGGCUAGAAUCAAAACUACACAUUACAAUACUUAUAAGAACAAUCAACUGGCUUAAGAUGAGUACCAAGUUAUGAUGCGAUUUCUGUUUGCCACCUUUAAUCUAACAAAAAAAAAAAAAAAAAUCACCCAUGCAUUUGAAAAAAACUUCUACCAUUGCCGAAUUUUGAAUUUGGCUAACUAAACCAACAUAGGGGCAUUAAUACCGUCUCAAGACACCUAAAAUGCAAGAUAAGUUCAUCAAUCAAAACUACGUAAGUUCAAUGGUUUUACCGGAGUUGUUCCAUGACACAGAAAAAAAAUUGGUUUCUAUGACACACUAUUAAGCAAUCAACAGCCACUCAUAUGUAACAAAGUCCAAUGACCAGAAAAGCCUUAUGCAGCCACAACUGACAGAGCAUGUCCUUUUAAGAUAAUUGGUUUUAUGGCAUAUUAUUCAACAACCACUGGUGUGUAACUAGUCCAAUACCCAGAGAUGCCUCAUGCAGCCAAAACUGAUAGACCAUUACCUGUGGAACUCAAUGUAGCGUGUGAAACAGUGUCUAGUUUGAUUAGUUGUUGGGAAUCGGAAGUCAGCUGGUGCAGUCUUCAGUUCAAUCUGACAAUAUUAGCAUACAAAUAUUACUAAGAAGAGUGUAAGACAACUGUUCAACACUAAAUUGCGUCUUCCGCUUUCUCAUCAUAAAUCACACACUUAAUUCACUACAUAAAAUGAAAAGGAAAACUAUCAAAAGUUCAGAGAAGCAAACAUUGUCACUUUAGAAAAAAGGUGAACAAGAAAAGUAUUUUAACAAGUUACUUAAUAGUUAAAAUAUUGAAUAAGCAUGUUUCCACUUAAGACGGCGUUCUCCUCCAUCAUGCUUAGAUUUCAUUGUAAUAUUUCCCAAGACAUCAUAUCCUACCAGAAUUCCAAUAGUUUCGAGGCAGGAGACAUCCACAGCAAGAAUACAUAGUUUUGACCCGAUUGUAAUUAUGAGCUAAAUCAUGCUUUGCAUGCUAAGAAGCUCUAGCCUAGGCACAGAUAAAACAUCUUUUCUCAGAAUUAAAAUUUCAACACAUCAUAAUCAUGAGAUAGAAGACAUUAAGCGUGUUCAGAACUAAGGCUUUCAACAAAACUGGAUGCACUUCCAUGCUUUUUUGAAUAAGAAUGUCCAAUUGAUAAAGAAAGAAUUUUUUGAACAGGCAACUUUCAAAGAAUGAAUCAAUAAAAUCACAACCUCAAGAAAACCUAAUUCCUGCAUAUGACAGUUCUAUUCUGAAAUCAAAAAGAAGGAAAAAAAAUUCACUCUUGAGGCUAAAGGACAGGCCCUCAGGCAUUAAAGGUCAGACGAAAGAAAAAUUGUUUGUGUCUAUUGUGGCAAAUGAAAAAUACUUUAGCAGCAGACCUCACACACUCUGACAUGAGAUAAGCACCUCACACACUGUGAAAUGAGAUACUAUUUGGCCCAAAGGACUAGAAAUAAAAGUGCAUUUACACAAAGGGCCAGCUAUGGCUCCCUUUAGCUGUCAACAAGACUAGAUAAAGAAAACAUUUUACAAUUGAGUCAAGAAAAGUAAACCACAAUUUACGUUCUCUUUCUAUAAACAACUAUUUGGCUAAAAAAAAUUAACAAAUAUAAACCACAACCAACAUGCUCUAUGAUGAGCAACCAUUUGGCCAAAUAAUUAAUAAGUAGACCAUCUGGAAAUGAAUAAAGCCUAGGUAUCGGAACCAGUAACUUAAAAGAGCAGGCAAGGAUAUAGAGAUCCCCAGAGUAAUAUUCCAAGAAGGUAGAUUUCUUCUCUCAGUCUGUACUAAAGAAGAAAGUCUACUUCAAUCCUUAUAUCACCAUGAAAAGAGAAGGGGGAGUCAACACCAAACUAUGUCACCUUAUAGGGAUUUUAGGCUGGAUUUUGAAUUUUAAUCUGCUUAGUAUCCUCAUAGUCAUGAGAGAACUUAAACUAUGAAAGCUCUUGCUUGGCUAUUGGAGAAAGUGGGAAAGAAGGCAUUCUGUCUCUUGGUAUGGAACCCCACAUUCACCUGUAAUCUGAAACAUUUUCAAGUAUGACAAUUAAAAUACAGAGCUUUGAGAGCAUAGAGAACCAAUAUGGGAUUAGCUACAACAACCCAAUUUUCCAUCAGCAUUAGGAGUACACAAUUCUUCCCUUCAUGUAUGGAUACUCAUAAGAAAAUCUUCCUGACUUGAUAUAUUAUACAGAUGGAACAUUGGGGGCACCCGUGGAUGGGGUUUUCUUGUUUUUUUCGUUGGGGGGGAGCACAAAGAAAAGAAGGAAAGAAAUAUUAAAAAGUUUACAAAGAGAAAGAAGGAAAACAAGUCUUUUAGUAAUUUCCCAUAUCAUAUCUCAAAUUCCAAACAUCCACGUAGCAGGACAUUUCCCUUUCCUCAAUAAAUUUACUAUCAAAGGAAACCCAAACUAAAUAAAGGCACAAACUUUUCUCUAAGAAAAACAUAAAAGCAAAUGUGCACAACAUCCAACUAACUCUAUGGUUUUGUUAUAAAAACAACUCCAUCAUCCUUUCAUACAGCUGCUUGCUUUCAACAAGAGUCCGUUCAGAUUUGAUAGCAAUGUAUUUCUUUACAAAUACUUUGCUUUUAGGCCUCACUAGGUUUAAACUUUUCAGAAAAGCUAUACCAACAAUCACUUUUUAAUACCUCUCAAUAUCAGCAAAAUUCAGUACAUUUCACGUUAAAAGAAAGCACUGCACCUUUUCUGAAGCUGUCUAUUUAUACUUCCCCUACAAUCAUUGGAAAUUUAUUCUACCAUGAAAUUAAACCCCUAGCACUCCAAAAUGGUUCUUGACAACAAGAAAUUUGGGCUCAUCUCUCACCAAGGCUUGACAAGGCACAAUAUGGCAAUCCAAUCCCAAAAAUUCCAACUUUCUCGAAAAAACUAAAUAAAAAUCCACUGCUUGACGUAAUACUGGAUAUUGAAAGAUAACACUUCAACAAGAACAUCUACUGAAUAUCUUUCCAACAAGAAGCUGAAAACCCACGAUCAUAUAUUGCAUAAAAGCUAACAUCUUGUUGAAAUUCCUAACCACACCCAUCUUAGAAGCAACUAUACCAUAGCUGCAACUUUGCCCCCUGGUAGGCAUGAAUGCCAACCAUCAUUUGCUUUUCCUCUUUAAUUCUGAACCAUAUAAGUUCUAUAACUAGAUUCAAAACCAAUUUCUUCUGUGUUAAAACUGAAUGCCAACACCGCACUCUUUUAGUUCCCAAUUUAAAAUACCCAUUAACCAAUGCCUUUUACUGAUUAAUUCAACCAUAAAUCUCCAUAAAAUCAUUCAUUUCUUGGAUCUCUUGCACAUUGUUUUAUACUAGCUUUUCACCCCGAAUUUCCUUCACACUUAAACCAUAUUUUCACAAUGUUCUGCCAAUAAAAUACAUGCAAAGAUAACAGAAAAUACAUUGACUGAGUGGGAUAUAUAUACAUAACCACGUUGUAUGAGUCCAUUGUGUACAGAACCGGCAAUUGAAUCAAAUCAUUAACAGAUCACAUAAAAAGGAUAAUGUACAUAAUCUCAUCAGCAAUCAAUUAAGACGAAAUUGAAACCACAAUAAAACAAAGGUAGAAAAUCAUAGACUAAAAUCCCUUAAAAAUUAAUGGAUUAAUUUCAUUAAUUUCAGUUUACCUCAGCCAUUUGACGAGACGGGAUCGAUCGAAAAUGAUGUGAAAAUGAGACAGAGCACUUUCUUCUGGUCGGCGGGAGAGAGUGUUGGAAACUAAAAUUGUUCACGUUUUGUUUCAGUGAUUAGUAGUUGUAGAAUUAGCUUAGAUUAGUUUGCAACCCUUAAUAUUUUCUUAGUUUUUACUGUUCACCCUUCACCUUUUAGUUUUUGACACAUAGCCCCCAACUGUCUUACAAAAGCUCUGGUAAAAAUUUUUUUUUUUUUCCCAAAAUAAGAUUACAUAUACCUUACAACUGCAAGAUCAGUACAACAAAUUAGUUGUCAUUUAAUUUAGAGAAAUGCCAAACUAGAAAUAGAGCAAUCUCAUAAUUAACUUGUAUACAACUUAUACACUUAAUUUAAUUUAAUGGAAAAGGCAUUCUUCAUGCGUUUGUUCAAGAAAAGUAAAUCAUUAGGGAAAAGAGCAAAAAGAAAAUGAGAAGGCAAAGGUGAUUUAUGCAUUAUUCCUUGGUUGGCAGUUUUUUUUUUUUUUUAAGUCACAAGUAUAUAAGUAGAAUUUUCAAAACUAUGACAAACGGGUCAUAUUGAAUCUCUUGCUCCCAAUUUAUGCAUAGGAAAAUAGUUCUUGAAAUACAGUUAGCUCCAAAUAUAGUAGGGACUAAUGAGCGCUGAUUUUAAAUGUAAGGGAAUAAGUGGUUAAGAAAAAUUAAGACUACGCGUGGGUAAAAAUUGAAGAUAUAUUAGAAGUAUCAACCAAACGUGUUUAUUUUGCAUGUUGGAGAUACACAACUCUAGACUUUUUAGCCAAUUUCCUAAUGUGUGGAUUUUUUGGUAUGAAGUUAUAAGGAUGGGAAAAUUUGGAGAUUAGUUAUUGUUUUUGAUAAUUGAUGAACAACAAAAAGGUAAAAGAGUGAUAAACCACAUAAAUAUGAGGAAAUUAUAAUGGUAAACGCAAAAUUAGGAGGAAAACUUAUAAUUCAGCUUUCUCUGAUCAAUUAACUGUCUAUUUUAGGUAGCAUAUCUUUUAUUCUUGCUCCCACAAAAAAAAAAAUUUUUUGUUGUAGAAUAGCUCUAAUUCUCAUUACUUAAAUCUUGCCAAAUCCCUAUAACACAUAUAUUUAAAAUAUCAUACCUCUAUACUUUUUCUCAUAAGUUGUAAUGAUAUACCUCUUCGAGUAUUCCUAUCUUCCACAUGUUUAGGUGAAAUUUCUCUGAUAGGCUUCGGCUUUCCCCGUUUAAUAGGUCUCCAUAUUUAAGAGGAAGUUUGGGUUUUAUGUUGUUAGAAUUUCAAUUUUUGCUAUUCAUUCUCUUAAAAGAACUUAAAUAACCUAUUAACGAUAAUUUUUAAUGCUUUUAGUUUACAAGAAGAUGAUAGCUAACAAGUAGCAGCAUGUUCUUCAACUAAUGAUCAAAUUACGAGACAGUGAUACUUUAUUACAAGGUACUACUACAUAAGUAGAUGUGUUAUUGCUGUUUCUAAAAAUUGAUAUGGAGUUCAGGUUAGUGAAACCCUGUACGUCUGUCCACCGAUGCAAAAGUUCAAAGGUGUCUCUAAACCAGAGUUUUCUUUUGUACACUCUCUCUUUUUUCUUCUGAUCAAUAAAAGCAUGAAAGUUUACGUGUAAAAAAAAAGUUUUUAUUACAUGUCAAAUAUCUUUAUGAUGAGUAAACCCGACAUGCUUAUUUACUCAUCCCCAAACUACCAAUCCUAAAAUGUCUCAACCCCCGAAAAAUUGCAGUUGAAUUCGCAUCACCUAAAAAAUAGUAGACAGCCUCUUUCGUGCACGUUGACUGACUAAGUAAAAUGCUAAAAGAGAGAGAAAAGGAAGAAAUGUUCAACAGAGUCCAGUAAUAAUACUUCAUAAAACCACUUUCAUUGAUUUGUAAACCAUCUUGGAAAGACCAUUGUUGUUCCAUACUGCAUAUUUGCUCAUGGCUGAGAAUUCUGCUCCCCCAGAAGAAGUUGUAGUGCCUGUUCCAGAAGAAAAAAAUGAAGCCAAAGAAAAAGAAGUCGCAGUGACUAUUCCUGAAGCAAAAAAUGAAGCCGAAGAAAAAGAAGUUGCAGUGCUUAUUUCUGAAGCAAAAAAUGAAGCCAAAGAAAAAGAAGCUAAAGAAAUCCCUGAUGAUACUACCACCACUGCUGCUGCUGCCACUACUAAUACUAGUGUGGCAGCUAAAACAGAUAAAAUGAAGAUUAUUGUGCUUUCAUUAACCGUACUUUCAUUUCUUCUUUCCUUCCCAAUCCUCUUUUCAAUCGCUUGGUUGCUAUACUUGAGACAAUAUGACUGUGAAAACCUUCUUGACUUGCCAAAGUUACAACUUGUGAUUGUCAUUGGUCUAGCAAUUGUCUUCUUUGUGAGCAACUUUGUAGUGAAAUUUGGAAGCCGGUUUCCUAUGCUUGGACUUCUCUUAGUUGUGGUGCCACUGAUUUUGAUGCUGAUUGUUGGUCUUGGACUUGAGGGUGCUUUUGACAUGGAAGCUCGUACCAUACCCGGUACUCCUAGAUGGCUUGAGUUCAGGGUGGAUAAUGACUACAAUUGGAAGGAUAUCAAAUCCUGCUUGUAUGCUACAACGACAUGUAGAGAGUUGGCGUUAAGGUCUUAUACCACCAAAUCCUUUGACUUCACAGCAAGCAAAUUAUCAUCGAUUGAGGUACUAAGCUAAUAAAAAUGUCACAUGAAAUAGUAUACGUGUGCUUGAGUAGACAUUACAGACAAAGAAUUUUUUUGCUGGUCGAAUAUAUAUAUAGGUAUAUGUAAAAUAUAAAUCACUAGUUUUGCAUAUGGCAUAUCCUAAAAACAUGUUGAAUGCUAUUGGCUUAGUAUUGGCUUAGUAUUCUACAUUAGCAGAAUACUUCUUUUUCAAUGGUUCAUACACAUGUUAUUAGGCAGUGUUUGAUACUUUAAUUCAACCAACAACUUAAAAAAAAAAAAAAUUAUGAUCGAAUUUUUUUCAAUAAAUAGUGUGCUUAGUUUGAGUGAUUUGUGUUUUCUUUGGUCAUAUCACUUCUACAAUUGCACCUCUAUUUACAUUUUACAUUUACUCACUGGACUAUUUUUUACAUUGGCGCAAUUGUCUAGUCUGGUUGUUGUCUGCCGCCAACAAGCUGUGGAAUGGAAUACGUGAAUGCCACAUUCUGGAGGAAAGAAGAUUCAACACUGGAUUCGUCUAACCCAUUGGAAAGGGAUUGUGAUCUAUGGAAGAAUGAUGAAACCAUUUUGUGCUACAACUGCCAAGCCUGUAAAGAUGGAUUUCUCAAACCAUUACUUGGUAAAUGGCAGAACAUUGGGACCUUCCUCAUUGUCAUGGCUGCUCUGCUUUCAGCCUCGCAUCUGUUGCUUUUUAUUUCUACAAUGUUGGAGCAACUUCGAGGAUACCAUAAAAGCAAAUUAAUCGCACUUUCAUUUUAACUGACUAAGAGUUAUUAGAUGAGGUUUUGGAUUUGCAAGCUAUUUCAUCCUUUGUUCUUGACUUUGUUGUACGUCUUUUUCGUGUAUAAUCGGGAACAUCUUUGAUGCUAUGGUCAUCCUCUGACAAAAGCAGAAGUUACCAUUUUUUUCAUGCUAUCAAGCUCUUCUUUGAUUGUCAUAUGGGCAAAAGUAUGUUUUGGUUUAUAUACCACGAAUUUUUAAGGAGUAGUAAGUUGUCAUUUCUGGAACUCCAAAAUCUUGGUUUCAUCAGGCAAAUCACACUGACUAAUUAGGAGUGGUCAGUUAUAAAACCUCCACCAUUAGGUGCCAAUGCGACAAAUUUGUUUUAUCAUACACAAGCCAAUUAUCCUUAUUAAGCUUUACCAAAACCAAAACUCUCCACCUCCCAUCCUGAAUUCAUGCACGGUGCAGACUAGGAUGAAACAAGAUGCAAGGAAAACCACAGGAUUGAAGAGACUGCAUCUCUUCUGAGUAUUCAAUGACAUGAAUAUCAGCAUCCAUGGGCGUCUCUUGAUUGAUAAGCACUUUCUUCAAGGUGAUUAAUAUAUUCCUUGCUAUUUUCCAAUCCCAAACCUUAUUAUGCCCCAACCUAACUCCAAGAGAGGGAGACCAAGCGGGAGAAUAGAAGGGAGGAGACAUAAGUCAAAAUAAACUACACAAACAUAUCUGGACUGCAAAAGGACAAUAAAAGAGGAAAGCUAUAUUAUACAGAAGCUAACAACAUGCUACAAUUCUUGUAGUAAAAUUUGGCUAAAGCCAUGAAACAGGUUACGAUAACUUACAAGGAAUUCUCAGAGCUAACGAGUACAAGCCUACAAGCUAGUAUUUGGUAAAUCAUCAACACAAGAUUCUACUAAGUUGCAUACGAAGGGACCCCAGGAUCCAGUUUUGGCUGAUACAUUCACCUCCGAGCAUGCGAGGCAUCAU